AAUAGGAGUUCAAUAAAAUAUAGAAUAAGGAUACACAAACAGGAACCCAUUUAAAAUUAUACUUUGACAAAAGACAAGAAGCAUUUCUUGGGUCAUCAAAUGAUACAUAGUGCGAUAUGGCUAGAACUUGUAUGUAUAUAAAAUAAACAUAAAGUAAUUCUUUUGGAGAGAUGGUUGAGUGCUUGAUAGCUCUGGUCUUGAAAACUGGUGUAGUUCUAAAGAACUAUCGAGGGUUCGAAUCCCUCUCUCUCCUUUUUCUUGUUGAAUGUUUCUUUAUUGGACUAAUAUGCUGUUAUAAAUUGUAAUGGCUCAGCUAGACAGGAUAGGAAAGCCGAGCCAUAACAAAAAAAUAGAUAUAAAUACAAAAAUAUCAACUAAGAGGGAUCAUGAAAAGAACAGGUUCCAAGUCACGAUCGAUUCUUUUUUCAAAUCCUGCUGCCGCUGCACGGGCCCUUCCUGCAUGCCACAAAUGACCCACAAAAAAGAAGAAUCCUAGAACAAAAUGAGAAGUAGCUAACCAACUUCUAGGAGAUAAAUAAUUGACUGCAUUGAUCUCAGUAGCUACGCNNNNNNNNNNNNNNNNNNNNUACCCAAGGAAUUUAAAGAACCUAGAGGAGUGUGAGUCAUAUAUUCUGCUGAACGGUGUUCUUUCCAAGGUUGUAUGUUUUUUUUCAGCCUACUCAAGUCCAACCCAUUUGGACCUCUUAAAGGUUCCAACCAAGCAGCACAGAGAUCUCAAAAACACAUGGUUUCCCCUCAAAAAAUCAAACUUCUGGUCCACAUUAGCCCCAAGGCAUUGGUCUCUAACUAGAAAAGUAAAAGCUUGAGCUUGAGAAGCUUCUGGUCUGGUUGGUCCAUAAAAUUCACUAGGGUAAGCAGCAUUAUUGAACCAGACAAAACAACAAGCUGUAAAAUCAAAGAUAGAUAAAACAGCUAAACUAUAAGAGAAGUAAACCUCUCCAGACCAGACAUGCAUGGCGAGCCCACGCAAAAGGCUUGGUUAAGAUAUGCCAAAUUCCACCAAGUAUACAAAUGGAACCUAACCAUACAUGUCCCUCAAUUAUAUCUUCUAAAUCGUCCACACUAACAAUCCAUCCUUCUCCCCCAAAAGGAGAUUUUAGUAAAUAACCAAAUAUAACACUUGGGCUAAGGGUCAAGUUGGUAAUUUUUCUUACAUCUCCCCCUCCGGGAGCCCAGGUAUCAUAUACACCGCCAAAAUAAAGAGCUUCGAACACUAAAAGAAAAGCACCUAGACCUAACAAAAUUAAGUGAAUACGUAGGACCCCUCUAUUACCACUCUCUUAAGAAAAAAAAAACAGCAGCACAUUUUUUUGACUGUUCCUAUGGAGUUGAAAUCUUACCAGCAUCAAAAACGAGUUCCUAAUAUAGAAUAUCUUAUAUAACUAUUUUUCAACCGCAAUUCAGGAUUGGAAUGCAACAUUCCGCUCGAAUCCACCAGUUAUGUAAUCCCCAUGCUAGAUUUUUGACGAGAAGUAGUACUAUGGAAGAAGGCUGAAGUAAAGUAGACUGACAGGGGGAAAGUGGGCUAACCUGCGGAUGAUUCCGUUGGCCGGUGAGGGCAGGAGAUUCCUCGUAGGCACAAGGACGAUGACAGCGAGACCCGUGUGCGUCUGGCGGGCGAGGGGCGUCGCAGCCAGAGGCCAGUGAUGUCUUGUUCGCGGAGGGCAGCCACUGUAGCGUCGGCGUGCGCGCCAGCAUGCGGGAUGUUGUUCGGGGAGAGGCUGGCAGCAGCGUCGGGUGCCCUUUGGAUGAGCUGGGGGGUGGUGACACAGCCAGAUGUUCAGAGGUCUGUGAGGCAUUCCUGGUCGAAACCAUGGCAGACUCGUAGAAGGUCAUAGCGACUCGUGGACAGGCUUCUUAGGUUCACGAGCAUGACGACCACGGCCCGUUGGGGCGUGGAGCGCGGUGUUGGGCUUAGGGUGAGCGAAGGACAGGAGCUGCGGUGGGCAACGAUGUUGGAUCUGCGGUGGUGGCAUGGCGGCGAUGGCCCGGAAACAAUGUGGUCGUGUCGUUGGUCAGGUGGUGCCCCACCCCUCAGUCUUCCCCUCUUUCUUCCUCUCUAUUCCUAUAAUCAAACUCAUGAAACAGUCCCUCUAUUCCAAAUAUGCCACCCCUUUGGCGGUGGCUCUCCAUCCUUUUAUAUAGGGGUCCACAUGGGCCAAGGGUGAAGGACCAUAGGGGAAACCCAAAAUGUCUAUUGGGCCUGACAAGGGUGGCCCCAAAAAAGGAAGGGGGUGAGGGAAGUAAAGAUACUAGCUCCUCCAAUUGGGCCCACUCAUAUGGCCCAAGGAGGAGGUAUUAGGAUAGAUGAGGGCUCAAAAUGGAGUGGGCUGUCCCCUCCAGCCAUAGACCCGACGUGGGCCCAAGGGUUGGGAAGCCCCCUCAAGUGGUGUAGCGGAACUUGGGGUUCCUUGUCCUCACUCAGGCUCUGCGAUCUGGUUGUCGGUGUGGGGGUGGGAUCUCCAUUGUCACCUUGGCCUCAUGCUGUGGUGUCUGCCACCAAGGAGCCUAAGCUUGGAAACAUCAAGAAAGCUUUUAGCAUAAUUUGGGGGUUAAGAGAUGGAUCGGGAACUAGCUCCUUGGAUGGGGAAACGUGAUGUCCCAAUGAUGGGAUAUCAAAAAGCAAUCUAACCUACACUAAAUGUUUGCAUCACCUUGUUGGUCCAAGCAACGUCAUAUCCUCCUAGAGGAGCGGACUGGCCAUCUGAAUGAAGUCAGGAAACUCCUCCAUGCUACUGUCAAUGCCGAAACUGCCACCCUUCUUAUCUGCCAGAAGAAAGGUCAUGUUGAAAUCCCCACCUGGAGAGAUGACAACUGACACACAGAUGACAGUUCUUCCCAUAAGAGUCUAUGCCCAGCUAGAGAGGUUUGGGCAUAAACAGCCGUGACCAUACAUCUCCAAUUUGUUGCUGCAUGAUAGAGCUUUAUAGUUAUGGAAUGCUGACCCUCUCCCUCCAUCUCUGAUUGGCUGGAUCACCUCCUCAAAAUGGCCCAUCACAAGGGAAACGAUAUUUGGAUAAUAGAGUUAUCUAGAUAUUCGUAAAUUUUAUAUGUUAUCAUAGUUCUACUUAGGGCAACACAGGUUGUGCCAUAUCAUAAUUUUUCUUUUCUAUUCAAUGAAAAAUUAAAGCAUGAUAAUUCUAUUAUUUCUAGAAAUACAUAGAGAAGAUACCCGCUUGGUAUCUAUUAUUUGUGUUCUGGGGUUUACGUUUACAUAUAUGUAUGCAUGUUAUGAUUGAAAAUACAAAAAUGAUUCAAAAUCAAAAAGGUUUGAUUUAUGUAUAUUAUAUAGUAUAUUACUUAUAUUAAUAUAAUAAUAAGUAUAUUUUAUUAUUUUAUUAUAUUUAUUAAAAUAUAUUGAUAUUUUAUUUUUGUUAUAUAAUAUAUAGUUUGCUUAUUAAUAGAGUUUGCCUAUAUUAAUAUUGUACUUCCAUUCUAUUGAUACUUAGUGAUAAUUAUUUAUUUUGUUUGUGGUAAAUCAAUUUAAUUUUAUUAAUUUGAAAUUAAAUAAAGAAAUUCCAUUUUUAAAUCCUUCAAUAAUUCAAAGUAAAUUAUGUAGUUAAUGGUUCAAUUUGACUUGCAUUUUUGAGUCAUAAAUCCUUUUUUUCUCUUUUGACUUUUUUUGUUUAUUUUUUCUAUUAUAAAAGUUUUUAAAUGGCAUAACAUAAGUAUAUAUGAAGAUACAAACAAUUGAAGAAAAUAAUCUCAACUAGAUCCAAAAAAACAAAAGAAAAAGAGGAAUUCCUUUUUAGAAAAGGAUAAGUACCCUAUUUGGUCUCCAGUUCAUUGAAACAACUCUUAUUUACAAGCUUUUUGACCAGUUUCACAAAUUUAAUAGGAAAAAACAACUAGUUGAGUAAUCCCCCCAUUAGGAAAAAAGUAGGUAUAUUAUAUAAAAUAAAUAAUUAAAUAUAAAUAAUUUAUAUUUCUAAUAUAAUCUAAAAUAUAAAUAAAGUAUAAUUUAUAUCCAUUUUUUAUUCUUAUGACGACAUGGCCAAGCGAUAAGGCAGAGGACUACAAAUCCUUUAUCCCCAAUUCAAAUCUAGGUGCCACCUGAUCAACAAAAAACUCGAGAUUUCUUAUCAUGCUGAUAGAAACCUAAAUCAAUGAAUUAUUCCCUAACAGAUAUAGGGGUACAAGUUUAGGCCUUGUCAAUACUUGAUUUUAAGAAGGAUCCAUAGGUUCUAGAAAAACAAAGACUGUUUUUCCUCAAAAUAUAGAUUUGAAGUAUGGUCCAAAAAAACCGGUAUUAAUGAGAUAAGAUAAAUCAAAACAUAAAUCAAAUAAAUAUUAAGAGUAACAACCAACUCUGAGAUUCAGACCCAAGAGAAUAAGAGAUCGAUAAUCUUAUCUUAGUAGUGAAAGAAAAGAGACUCUUAAAAAUUGAUGAUAGGAAAGACUAUAAAAUCUUACUAAUUUAAUUACCUUACUGAACAAUACUAGGGGAGUAAGUGUCUACUGAGUCAAUUGGCUAGGCUGAUGGGAAAUUUAUUGAGGAGUUGUGUAAAGGAAUGAAUAAAGAGACAUUAUCUCUAAACUCAUAAGAAAUUCCUAGUGCUCAAUAAUCAAUCAAUAUGAUUCACCAAUAAGAUACGAAGACUUACUUCCCAUUUGGAAUUGCAUAAAAUUUUUUUACAUCUUAGAGGGGUUUACAAAUAAUUCUGGGAAAACGUCAACGGCUGCUAGUGUAUUUGUCAAAGAAAAAUAGAGUAUGUUAUAAGAAAUUAAUUAGUCAGUUGGAUAUUCAGGAUCCGAAAACUUGUUAAUUCGAGGAUUCAUUUGAAUUAUUAUUGUUUUUUUUAGAUUUUAUUUUUUUUAUUGAUGAACCUUGUAUAAAAUAUAUUAUAAUAUAAAUACAUAAAUUAUUAAUUUUUUAUUUUUUGUUAUCUUAUUCAAAUAAAAAAAAUUUAUUUAUUUAUUAUUAUUUUAUAUUUUAAAGAAUAAAAAAGAAUAAAAAUAUUUACGUUAUGAUUUUAUAAACUCACAAACGAAAAAUAAAUGGAAAUUAACAUAAAAGAUAAAUAAAAAAAGAGAUAAGAUGAGAUUCACCCACUUGCUACUAAAUAUUUUAUUGCUUCACUUGCAAAGAAACAUACAACCCCCACACUAUUUGUGAUUCCAUCAAUUAUGUAUCUAUAAAAAAAAUGAGUUAGUUUAGCUAAUGGAAUUUUUUUGAUAUAGUGAGUAAUGGGUGAUGUGACCCUAAGUUAUUAGAAUCAUUAUUCAAUUUUAAUAAUUUAUAAAACUAGAUUCACCAAAAAUAAUAUUAAAUGAAUAUAGUGGUGAGCUAGGUUGUCUCCUCAAGGAAAGCUUUUUAGAAAUCUUCUUAUUCUCUUGUUUAAUGGGUUAUGAAUUUGAUAUUUAAAGUUAUGAAGGAAAUAUAAUUGUAAAUAAAUGUAGAUGCAAAUUUAAACUUAUAUUAAAAUGAAAUAUGCUUUAGAAUGAUGAAAAUGGAAAAGAAAGAUGUAAAGAAAUGAUUAAAGCUAAUAAAAUAAAUUUAUUUCACAUAUCAAACAAGAAAAUAAUGAAAACCUUAUGAAAAAUUAAACUUACAACCCUUAUAAUACAUGGCUUGAUGUCAACCUCUGGUUAGUGCUUCCUAAUCUUACAUUUAGUUCAAUGGAAUGGAUUUAAGGUGAGAAUGGUAGAGGAGAAUGAUCAAAAAUCGACGGUGCAUUCCUUGGAACUCUAUUUUCGCAUGAAAAAGAAGAACAAUUAUUUUCUCUUAAUAACAACUCAAAAAAAACUUAAAAAAGAUCCUCUAUCUUUUUCUUCUAUCAUUUCUAUUCUCUAGAAUGAUAAAUCACACAUUAUUUUUUUAUUUUAUUUUUUUCAGAUUUUUUUUCAGAUUUUUUUGAUUUCUCUGAAUUUUCCUCAAAAUUUUCAGAUUUUCUUGCCAUUGCACUUGAGAAUAAUGGAUAUAUCUGUUUUACCAGAAAAUUAUCUAUAUUUGUAAAUAUGCCCAGCCACAUGCAUAUUCUAAUAUAUCUGGUUUAUCAAAUGAUAACUGAUAUUUGCACAUGUGUCCUCAGCAUGUGUCAAGCUAAGAGUCGUGCGAUUCGUGUGUCGUCAAUCCACAAUAAUCGAUAAGUGAUGUGGCCACUUGUAUGUCGUCAGAUAGUUGUGGCCUUUGAUGAUGUGUCACUCUUCUAUUUGUUAAAUCUAUGACACUAGAAACAUAUUAGAUGAAUGAGAUCUUGGGCCCACAUAGGCCCACUAACUAGUAAGCCCAUUAAACUAUUUUUUAUUCUUAUUUAAUUCAGAAAAUUCUCAGAAAAAUUUUAGAAAAUUUGUUUCAAUAUAAAUAAUUUAUUAAAAAUUAUAAAAAUUUAGCACAACAGAAUUUUAUUUUAAAAAAUAGAGUAAAUGAGAAUUAAGUUUCAAAAUAUGAAAUAAAAUCUCAUCAAUUUUCUUUUUAGUCAUAAAAUAUCAAUUUAAAUCAAGAUUUUAGGAGGUUCAUCAAAAUGAGAAAAUUAAAUAAUUAACAUGAUAACUUGUGAAAUAAUUCUCAAAUAUGUAUUAUUCUCCUUGAUUUAAUGACACAUUAACAUAUAAUUUUCACAAGUUAUCACACCCCCUAACUUGAAUCAUUGCUAGUCCCUUAGCAAUGAAAAUAAAACGUGUUUAAAAAUUUAAGAAACAUCAUCAAAUAAUCAUGGAUCAAUAAUAUACCAAAGCUAAUGUGAAGAAACCUUCUCUAAUGAAUAUAUGAUUUAUGUCAAGCAUAAUUAGACAAACCACCUUUUGUAACAAAGUAUUUCUCAAGAUAUAUUCUUCAAAACAUUUUCAUGAACUUAAGCAUGCUUCUCAAUACUCUACAUAUAAUAAUAAUUGUACUACAUAAAUAAAGGAAAGAAUUCACCUCAUCAAGAAAUAACAUUGAUAGAUACCUUACACUAUCAAAAAUAUGCAUGCGAUAGAGAUUAUGUCAAAUCUUAUAUAUAAAUGGCUAAGGCACAUGGAAAGUAAUUUUAAAAAUCAUUGAAUAACUAAUGGGGUUUUAUCCUUAGUACUUGAUAUGAGAGAAAUGCCCAGGUAUCUCAUAGUGCACCCCAUGUGCUUUCCUUUGAUUCUACCCCUUGCAACCUCUUUUUUGUUUCUUCAUUUGAAUACUUGCUACAAAAGAGAUACCAUGAUGUCUCACAGCAUAUUCCCUAUGCUUUCUUCAAGUUCAACAUAUUUUUAUUAUAAAUAAUUAUAAUAUUCUUUCCAUGUGUUGCCCUAAUUAAAUAUGCAGCUUAUUUCCCCGAAGAGGUUUUGUAUCCCUCUGUAAUUUAGGGGGCUUCACUUUGUCAUAAAUACUAGUUGCCAAAGAAAUUGACAAAAGCUCUAUCUCAUGCUAAAAAAAAUUGAUUUUCAUGCAAGGUUUGAUUACACUAUAUCAUGAGAGGUGAAUGAGUAAGAUGAGAAGUCUAAGAAUAAGAAAAAAAAUCAUAAAUGUAACUAUGAGUUUGAGAUGUGUGCUUCAAUUCACUUCCAUGUUUUUAACUCACCCUAGGGAAAUAUUUGGACCUUUAGUUUGACAUAAAACUUAUAACAUAAAAUAAGUUCUUCAUCUUGCUCAUCUAUAAAUCAAUCUAUAAUGUAGUCGAUGAUGUGUUGUUUAUUUGACUAUUUUCAUCAUUAAUAUGCAAGAAAUCAUAAAUAAUUUGUCAUAAACUCAUUUUCAUGCACCAAAUUAUACCUAUGAGUUUUUCUAAAUUUACUCAUUAUCCCCCAACUUAGUUGUUUUAUUGUCCCCAAUAAAAUAUGCUAUUGAGAUUAUAAAAGAAAUGAGCAUCAUAGCAUUCAUCUCAAGUAUGAAAUAUCAAUGAAGGAAAGUUUAGAAAAACUCAUUGAAUAGUCGUAGAUGAUUCUUCAGCUCCCUGAAUUUUUUGUUGGUGAUAUCUAAUCAGUGCUUCAAAUUUUCUAAAAAGGGGAAUCAUUGACAAAAAUAUAAAGAUAGUAAGAUUUUCAAAUAAAAGUAUAACAUGAUGGUUGAAAUAUGAAAGGGUGGAGAGUUGAUACCUUAUUUAUUGAAGUAGAUAAAAACUAUAGAAAAUAAAAUUAGCUUUUGAACUAAAAUAAAUCAAUCUAGAGACAAAUUAAAAUGACAAAAAUAAAAAUUAUUGGGUUGCCUCCCAACUAAGUGCUUGUUUUUACAUGUUCAGAAUGACAUAACCUAGUUCAUACUAAGAGAUGAUCUAUUGCCAUCAAAAUAUAUUUGUAUCCCAAAGAAGGUUUUAUAAUGUUCUUUUUGAAGGUAUCGAAAAGUCUCAUCAAAAUAGAUAAAUCAUUGGACAUGCAUAUAUUUGUGAAAGUGUUACAAGAUGAAAAGAAUUCUUCAAAUAAGGAAAUAUAAUUUUCAAAACUUUUGGUCCAAAGAUCUUAUCUGACAAAUAGAUUUUAUUUUCUUUAAAAACAUACCUUGGGAUAGUUUCAACUGUCAAGAUAUGAGACAAAAUAUUCUCAAAAAUAGUAGUUCCACUUGGAAAAGAAUUUUUCCUUAUUUUUGUCUUGUUCAAUAGGGUUUUCGUCCAUUUUGGAAUAUUUUUUAUUGAUGCAAAAUGAUGUUGUACCAAAGAGAGAGUAUUUUGCCAAGUACAAAGCUAGAAACUUAGGAGUUGUCAAGAUGGAGAACGAAGGGACAAUAAAUAUCAUUGGUAUCAGUGAUGUCCACAUUAAGACAAGUCUUUCUAUGAAUUGGAGUUAAAGAAUGUGAGACAUGUGGCAAGUUUAAGAUUGAAUUUAAUGUCAAUUAGAAUGCUUGAUGACAAUAACUUUCAUGGCGAUACAAGUGAUUGGAAAAUCACUAAGGGUUCACUUAUUGUAGCUUUUGGAAAAAAGUACAGUACCUUAUAAAAAAUACAAGCUGUAGGCUACGGUGAUUAGAUAAAUGCCAUGAAAAAGGAUUUUAGUAUAGAAUUGUGGCGUAAGAGGCUAAGAGACAUGAGUGAGAAGGGAUUGCAAACUCUCAAGGAAGGAAGUCUUACCCAAGUUCAAAGGUAUUCGAUUGAACUCAUGUAUUGAUUGUUUGGUUGGCAAACAACAUAAAGUUUUUUUUUCUAGUCCACCUUUGCCUAGAAAAUUACAUAUUUUGGAGCAAGUCUAUACAGAUGUGUGUGAUCUAUUGAGGACAAAGAUUAUUGAUGAUACUAUUGAUAUUUAUAGUAUUAGUGGUACAUUAUACUUUGUCACUUUCAUUUAUGACAAUUCUAGUAAAGUUUCAUCAUAUCCUUUGAAGACUAAAGAUCAAGUUAUUGACGUGUUCAAAGAGUUUAAUGUCAAGGUGGAGAAGGAGACUAAUAGAAAGUUAAAAUACAUAAGAUCUGAUAAUGGUGGUGAAUAUAUGGGCUUGUUUGAUGAAUAUUGUAGGAAGCAAGGUAUUAUUCAUGAGAUGAUAGUCCUAAGCACUCCUCAACACAAUAUUAUUGUGGAGAGGAUGAAUUGUACCAUUAUGGAGAAGAUCAAGAGUAUGUUUUCACUUGCCAAAUUACCUAAAAAGUUUUGAGAUGAGGUGUUGAAGAUAGCUAUUGAUCUCAUUAACCUAUCUCCAUGUAUGCCUUUAGAUGAAAAUGUUGCAGUUAAUGUAUAAAUAAGAAAAAAUGUUUCUUACAAACACUUAAGAGUGUUCGAUUGUCAUACAUUCACAUUGUUCUUGUCAUAGAAAGGUCCAAAUUAGAUGGGAAGACAAAGGAGUGUAUUUUUCUUGGAUACCCAUGUGACAAGUUUGGUUACAAGUUAUGGGAUCCAAUGAAGUAAAAGGUGUUCCGAAGUCGAGACAUAACCUUCUUUAAAGAUUAGAAUAUUGAAGAUAUAAAGAAGGUUCUAGUGGUCAAAAAUUCUAUAAAAGUAUUUAUAAAUUAUGACCAAGUCAUCCAUUAUGAGCGCCAUGAUGGAGGGGAAGAAUUGUAAGAAGAAAGGACUGAAGUUGAUGCAGAUUUACUUACGAGAUAAGAAGAGGAGCAAGGAGGAGAGCUAUCUCUAAUAGAGCCUCAUCUUAGAAGGUCUAGUAGAUAGCAUUAAUCUUCACGAAGAUAUCCAUAAGAUGAAUAUAUUAUACUUAUUGUUGUAGGUGAACCAAAAAGUUAUUAAGACAUAUUAAAAAGUGAGCAUACUAAAGAAUGGUUGAUAGCUAUCUAUGAAGAAAUGGAAGUAUUACAGAAAAAUCAAACAUAUGAUCUUGUGGAGCUACCCAAUGAAAAGAAAAUAUUGAAGAACAAGUGGGUUUUCAAGUUAAAGACUCAAGAACAUACUUCAGUGUCAAAGUAUAAGGCCAAAUUAGUUGUCAAAGACUUCAAUCAAGUGCAAGGUAUUAACUUUGAUGAAAUAUUCUCUUUUAUUGUGAAAAUAUCUUCUAUUCGUGUUGCUCUAGGCAUGGCUACCACUAUGUACUUAAAGGUCGAGUAGUUAGAUGUAAAGACAAUAUUUCUUCAUAGUGAUUUGGAAGAGGAUAUUUACAUUGAGCAAUCAAAAAACUUUAAGAUAGAAAGAAAAGAGCAUCUAGUGUGCAAAUUAAAGAAGAGCUUGUAUGGACUAAAGCAAGAGCCAAGAUAGUGGUACAAAAAGUUUGAUUCAUUUAUGACUAAAAAUAGAUACAAAUAUACUUCUACAGACUAUUGUGCAUACAUUAAGAAGUUCAAUAAAAGUUUUAUGAUUCUGUUAUUAUAUGUUGACAAUAUACUUAUCUUUAGGAAAUAUUUGCCAACAAUUAACAGGUUGAAGAAGGAGUUGAACAAGUCAUUUGCUAUGAAGGACAUGGAGCCAGCAAAGCAAAUACAUGGUAUGCAGAUUUUUCGUGACAGGAAAGCCAAGAAGAUUUGGUUGUCAAAAGAAAAAUAUAUCAAGAAAGUGUUUGACAGGUUUAGUAUUUUUGCAAAACUUGUUUGUUCUCCUUUGAUAAAUCACUUUAAACUUUCUACAAAAUAAAAUCCGUCAAGUGAUGAGGAGAAGCAGAAGAUAAAUAGAGUACCUUACACUUCAGUCGUUGGGAGUUUGAUGUAUAUAAUGAUAUGUAUAAGACCAAAUAUUGCAUAUGUAGUGGGUGUUGCAAGCAGAUUUCUUACAAAUCUAGGAAAGGAGCACUGGGCAGCAGUAAAGUAGAUAUUUAGAUAUCUCAAAGGGAGCUCUAAAGUUUGUCUAAGCUUUGGAGAUGGUGCCCUUAUAUUGGCAAGAUAUACAGAUGCUGAUAUGGCCAAAGAUGUUGACAUAGAAGUCUACUUCCGGCUAUAUAGUUACUUUUGUAAGGAGAGCUGCGUCAUGAUAGUCCAGAUUAUAAAAAUGUAUUGCUUUGUCAAUUAUAAAAACUGAAUAUAUUAUUAUUAUAAAAGUUUGUAAAUGUUAUGUGACAUGAAUUAAUCGUUGUAUAAUAAAUCAUGUAAAUUUAAAAUUGACGUAACGAAACUAUUGGUGAUGACCCUUUGAGUUGAGUGGAUAUUGAGGUUGAUGGAAGAUGGGUUGAAAUCAUGACUUGAAUCCUCAAAAGUCGAGAUUUCUAGUGAAGCCUCCUUGUCUUGAAUUCACAAAACGAAGAAGCUAUUCUCUUGGUGCUCAAGGGCGGAUCUUGAAUCCACAAAACCAACGAACUAACUCCUAGAGUCCACAGGGAUGCUGGAGUCCACCAGCAGAAGGGAGAAACUCUCAAGGAGAAGAAACUCACAAAAUUCUAUUCAUAAAAAUAAGUUCAAUGCCCUUGGGCUAUAUGGGGCGUCCUUAAAUAGGCUAGAGCUUGUGAAAAGGGCGCCAACUUUGAAUUUCAAACGAAAUUUAAAAAUUAGGAGGGAAUUACAUUUGAGAAAGUUUUUGAAAUAGAAAUGGGCUUAAAAUAGAACGAAAUAGGCUUUUCUAAAAGGUGGUGUAAAGGCAUGUGACAGUUAUGAAAGGAAAAUGAAUAGAGGAAAGAAGAGAAAUAGAAAGAGGCUUUAAAUAGGCUAAAAUAGGAAGGGUUGAAUAAAGAAUGGGAUUUAUGGUGGCAACAAUAGGAUGAGAUCUAAAAUAGAAGGUAGAUGAGCUAGUGUAAAGGGUUCUAAAAAUAGAAGGGUCUAAAAAUAGAAAGUUCUAAAACUAGAAGGUUCUAAAAAUAGAAAGUUGAUCUUCAAGUCUUGAAGUCUUCUCCGCCAGUGGAUGUGAUAUUGGCUGCAUCAAAAAUUUAUAAAACUAGAAAAUAUCAAUUCUUGGAAUUUUAAAUGUUUAUCAGAGUGAAUAAAUCAAUUAUAAAUCAAUAAAAGAUUCCAAAAAUAGUAAGAAAUUUCCAAGUCGAUCAUAGGGAUGUAAUAUAAUAUCGAGUAAUAUUUCAAAAUUUUUUUAAAAUAAUAUAACUUUUUUAUGAUUAUUUCUUAAUUGAAUGAUAAAUAUAAUAUAUUUAAGAAAUGCAAAAAAUAAAUAAGGUAAUGACGUCAAGUGAUGUCAGUGCCUGAAGAACACGAAUCGGGCGAAAACAGAGUUCUGACCUACGAUUCUUUUGUAAGUGAUUACUAUCAAAUUAAUAGAUCAAAUUUAGUUUUGUAAAAGCUCGAAGAAUCGUAACUCAAGUAAGAAAUAUAUUGGAUGUUGAAAUCGUGUCAAAGAUUACUAAUUUAAAUGAAAAUAAAGUUUAAAAUAGGAAAAACAGAGUUCCGACUUCGCAGCAGCGAUCGCCGGAAUUCUGUGUGUUCAGAAAAGAAAUUGUGCAAUGUCCACGGCCUCAAAGGCUCUCCUUGGACAAAGACGAUGUGGGUGAUCUCUAGAACUUCUUUCGAAGCCCAUAAAUCGGUGGAAUGGAUCGCCAAAUCGUUUUCGGUGGCUGUCACCGAGCGGAACAGAAAUAUGGUGACUUGUGGCUGUCUGGUGACUCACUCAAUGGAGGUGUACUAAAUGGAGGUGGGGCAUGUCUCAAGGGCUUCGUACUCAAGUUAGCGCAAUGAGAAGAGGCCCUUUAUCACAUCUGGUACGCUCUCAGGAGGUGGCGACUCGUCUCCCGGCAGAUCGUCCUCUUCCUAGCGACGGCUUGUUCGUCGAUCAAGCGGAGAUGAUUUCUUCGUUAAGUUCGCAAUAUUUUGUCCAAAAUCUUACACCAAUUUCGGUCACGAUGCUCCACAAAUUGCAUUAACUAAGUUUUUGCUGAAUUUUUUAUGAUUUUUGCAGCUUAAUCGCUCUCCGGAAAUCGCAAUUUCUUCGUUGGUUGUCCGCUUGUGAGAGAGAGAAAGAGGGAGAGAUGAGAUAAGUACUAAAAUGCCCUCAAUGUAUGACAUCAUAAGGAUAAUUUUAUAAUACUCAAUGAGAGGCAUUUUUGGCAUUUAGAAAAUAUGCAAGAAAAAGUAAGGUGCCGGGUUAGUCCCACAUCUGUUUUCUAGGCGAUUUUCAUGCACGUAUAUUAUAGGCACUUCUUUAGCCAUCAAUAGGUACAAAUCAACCACGUGUGUACGAACACUCCUUGCCCCAUGCUCGGCUGGCCACUGGUGACGUGGAAGGGGAGUGACGCACAUGUCAAUCGCUUGAGCUCGCAGUCCUUAGCCGCUCAGCGGCUCUGCUCAAUUGGGCCUCCCACCCGCUUGCGGGCCCGGGUGGCUGGCAGAUUUUUUUACUUUUUUCUUAAAUAUUUUUUUCAUUUCUCUCAACAAAAUAAAAUUAUAAAAUCAUGGAAUUAAGCAAAAAUUCAUAUUAGUCAACUAGAAACUACUUUUCAUAACUUAACACAAAAAUAAGUCUAUUUAUCAUGAGUUAAGACUAAAAAUAUCAUCUUACUAAAUUAUUAAUUCAUGAUAAUGAAAACUUAUCACACCCCCCAACUUAAGUCAUUGCUAGUCCCUUAGUAAUGGAAUUAAAAAUAUAAUUAUCGUUUAGAAAUUUCAGACAUCAUAUUUCAAUACACAAAAUAUAAUUAAAAAUAAUGAACCUCUAGAUAUUUUGAAUUAUUUUAUCAAUUAUUGAAGAAAGAUAUCAAGCUCUUAAAUGUCUAAACACUCCUUGGAAUAAUAAUAUAACUUUCACUUCUUCAGUCUACAUCUUUAUCAUUUCUUUACUCAUAGAUAUAAUUCAUAAGAUGGUCCAAUUAUCAAAAAUCAUCCAAGCAUAAUAUCGAUCCUACCUUUCCCUUCCCUAUGGCUUGAUUUUUUAAGUUUGCACUACAUUUCUUCUUUUUUUUUUCAUGGUAAAUAAGUAACUUUUUCUGUAAACAAAUUUUGACAAUGAGAAUGAUGUUUCACACCCUCCAUGUGUACUCUUCAUUUCCAGGGCUUUCACAUUAUCCACUUAUUUUGUAGCAAGUGUUUAUCAUUUUCAAAUUAUUUUUCACACUACUCUUUUUUUUUUCUAUUUUUUGAAACAAGUGAUUUAUUCUCAGAAGUCCUAUAGAUCAGGGUGUAAAAAUCUCCAUUAAACUCAAAUGAUCAAUCAAAUUUUCUCAUCAAGUAAAUUCUAUCCAUCAAGAUCAUGAAGUAAAAAAUUUGUAAAAUCAAAUCCAUGUUAUCUAUAAUGUAUCCAAGGAGUAUUUCAACAUUUCAGGCUAUUCAUUCAUUCUCUUAACUCAAUAAUAAUCAUCCUAAUAUCCUUUGGUAUCAAUCAGUUUAAUUGAUUUAAUUUUUUCGUGCACAUAAUAUGAUGUAAAAAAUUAGAUAGUUCUGAAAAUUAUGCCUCUAUUUCAGUUCUAUCAAUUCUAUUUUAAGCAACAAUCUAUUUGUAAAAAUAAUAAAUCAAAACUAUCAUUUUCAUAAUAGUAAUUCCGAAUUUCAACAAUAUAUGCCUAAGGGUUUGAAAUGUGAGAAAAAGGUCUCUAAAAUUUUAAGUUUCGAACUAUUUUUAUUUUUUUUUCUGCUGGUUUUUGACAGUCUACACUCUGCACUAUUUUCUAUUAUUUCUAACAUAACUAGGAAAUCAACACUAUAUUUUUUUCAAAAAAUUACUCUUAUAGAUGAUAAAAAAUUACCAACACAUGUUCUUGUUCAGUCUACAACAUUUAGACUUAAUAUCUUCAUCACCUUAGCCCCCCAACUUAAAUUUGACAUUGUCCCUAAUGACACAAAUUACAAAAAAUGUAAUUUUCAAUCAAGUAUGCAUAUAAGUAAAAUUAAGCACGAAAAAUACUAUAAUAAAGGAUCAAGUUCAGGAACAUAUAAUCUUAGGCUCACUUUCAAUUUCCCACUUCGUCUUACACUCUUCCUCUUGCACUUUUAUUCUUUUUUUUUUAAAGAAGAAAAUAAUACAAAAAAAUAGAUGCUGCGAAAUUCAACAAAAGUAAAGCACUAAUUUAAAGAGAACCAUGGGUUGCCUCCCAUACAACAUUGAGUUUAAUGUCUUUAGUUGGACACACUAAUUUCAUUCUCGAAUUUCUUUUAAUAAUAAAAUCUCUUUUUCUGCAGGGCAUUCAUAUUCUAUGUAAGGUUUAAGCCUCUGUCCAUUUACUUUAAAACUAUGAUCAUUUUUAAUAUCUCUAAUCAUUUUAGCUCCAUGAUCAUAUAUUUCUUCCACCACAUAAGGUCCUGUCUAUUUUGAUUUCAAUUUUCUUAGAAAUAGUUUCAAUCUAGAAUCAUAUAACCAUACUUUUUAUCCAACUUCAAAAAUUUUUCUACUGAUGUACCUAUCAUAAAAGAUUUUAGUUUUUUCUUUAUAAAUUCUAUGAUUUUCGUAAGCUUCAUUCCUUAACUCUUUUAAUUCAUGUAGUUGAAAAAUUCUGUGCUCACCAGCUAAUUUUUCAUUCAUACAUAAAUUUUUUAUAGCCCAUAAUACUUUAUGUUCUAUUUCCACCAGAAGAUGACAUGGUUUCCUAAAAAUGAGACGAAAUGGAAACAUACCUAUGGGAUUUUUAUAAGCUGUUCUAUAUGCCCAUAAUGUAUCUUGUAAUUUUGUGGGUCAAUCCUUCCUAUCUGGUCUAACUAUUUUUCUCAAAAUUCUCUGAAUUUCUCUAUUUGUUACUUCAGCUUACCCAUUUGUUUGGAGAUGAUAUGGAGUGGCUACUCUAUGAUGUACUCUAUUUUUUUUCAAUAGUUCCCUGAAAUGUCUAUUUGUAAAAUAUGUUCCUCCAUCACUAAUAAUCACUCUAGUACAUCUAAAUCUUAAAAAAAUAUUUUCCUACACAAAUUUCAUCAUAAUGUUAUGAUCAUUAGUUCUAGUAAGAAUAGCUUCCACCCAUUUAGACACAUAAUCAACAACAAGCAAGAUAUAUUCAUAUUUUUAGCUGAUGGGAAUUGAUCCAUGAAAUCUAUACCCCAUACAUCAAAAAUUUUAACAACUAACAUAUUACUCAUAGGCAUUUCAUCUCUUUUAUUUAAGUUACCUAUAGAUUGGCAUGAAAUGUAUGUUUUAUUAAAUUCUAUAACAUCUUUAACUAUUGUAGGCCAAUAAAAACCACAUUGAAAAAUUUUCACAGCUAUUUUUCUACUAGAAAAUGUCUUCCACAGUUAAAUGAAUGACAUAUUUUAAGAAUGCUAUGAUAUUCUUCUUCAGGAACACAUCUUCUAAGAAUUUGAUCAUUACCCAAGUAAUAUAAAUUAAGAUCAUGCCAAAAAUAAUUUCUAAUCUUAGUAAAGAAAUGAUUUUUUCUAUUCUUAUCCCACUGUUCUGGAAUUUUUCUAAAAAUCAAAAAAUUAACAAUAUGUGCAUACCAUAGUGAUGGUUGAUGUUGAGCUCCCAUCAAUUACUUAUUUGGAAAUGUAUCUAGUAAAGGUACUGUAUUUGUUCCUAUAUCACUCAAUCUAAAAAGAUGGUCAGCAACAAUAUUUUCGAAUCCUUUUCUAUCUUUUAUUUCCAAAUCAAAUUCUUGCAAUAAUAAUAUCUAUCUUAAUAAAUGUGGCUUUGCAUCUUUCUUAUUAAGUAAAUAUUUUAAUGCUACAUGAUCAGUAUAAAUGAUGAUUUUAGCUCCUAAAAUACAUGAUCUAAAUCUUUCUAAUAAAAAUACUACGGCUAACAACUAUUUUUCAGUUGUGAUAUAAUUUAAUUGAGCAUCAGAAAUAAUUUUGCUAGCAUAUGAAAUAACUAUGGGUUUUGACUCUUUUUUUUGUCCUAAAACAACUCUUACUACAUAAUUUGAUGCAUCACACAUUAUUUCAAAUGGAAGAAACCAAUCAGGAGCUUGUAAAAUAGGUGCCUCAAUAAGUAAUCUUUUUAUUUUAGAAAAAAAUUCAAAACAUUUCUCAUCAAAAUUAAAAGACACAUCUUUAGAUAAUAACAUGAUGAGAGGUUUAGAAAUUUUCAAAAAAUCUUGAAUAAAUUUUCUAUAAUAACUUGCAUGUCCUAAGAAAGAUAUAAUCUGUUUUAAUGAAUUUGGGGGUUACAUUUUAGAUAUAAUAUCAAUUUUCACUUUAUCUACCUCCAAACCUCUUUCACUCACAAUAUGUCCCAACACAACUCAUUCUCUAACCAUAAAAUACGAUUUCUCCUAACUCAAAACUAACUUUUUCUCUAUACAUUUCUUUAGCACAUGCUGUAAAUGAUUUAGACAUUCAUGAAAUGAUUCACCAAAAAUAGAAAAAUCAUUCAUAAAAAUUUCCAUGCAUUUUUCAAUCAUAUUAGAAAAAAUAGACAACAUAUAUCUUUGAAAUAUAGCUGGAGUAGUACAUAAUCUAAAGGGCAUGCGUUUAAAAACAAAAGUACCAAAUGGACAAGUAAAAGUCAUUUUUUCUUAAUCUAAAGGAUUUAUAUAAAUUUGAUUAUAACCAAAAUAUCCAUCUAUAAAACAAAAGAAUCUUUUUCCAGCUAGUUUUUCAAGAAUUUGAUUAGUAAAUGAUAGAGAAAAAUGAUCUUUUCUAGUUACUAAAUUUAAUUUUCUAUAAUCAGUACAAACCCUCCAACCAGUGGUUAAUCUUGUUUGUAUUUCCUCCCUAUUUUCAUUUUUUAUAACCAUGAUUCCUAAUUUCUUUGGUACCACCUGUGUAGGACUAACCCAUUUACUAUCUGAAAUAGGAUAAAUAAUAUCAGCAGGCAACCAUUUUAAAAUUUCUUUUUUACCACUUCCAUCAUGUUAGGAUUUAAUCUUCUUUGUGGUUCUCUACUUGGUCUAGCUCCUUCCUCUAAAUAUAUAUUAUGUUUACACAUUCAUAUCAAUGCCUCUAAGAUCAUCUAUUUUCCAGUCAAUAGCUUUCUUAUUUUUUUGAAUUACUUCUAUUAAUUCUUCUUCUUGCUCAUUAUUCAAAUCAGCUACAACUAUGAUAGGGAAUGAGUUAUUUUCCUCAAGAAAUACAUAUUUUAAAUUAGAAGGAAGAGGUUUUAGCUCUAAAUUUGUGUGAUCUUCUUCUUUCUUCUCCCCUAUAUUUAAGUUUUCAAUUUCCUUUAAUUCUUCCAUCACACAAUCAUCAAUAAUAUCUAGACCAUCAAAAUCAUCUAAAACUUUUAUGGUAUGACAAUCAUACACUUGAGAUUUCUUAAGAUCAUUUGAUACCUCAAAGAUUUUAAUUUCUACUGAUUGAUCUCCACAUGAAAUUUUUGCAAUACCUAUGGGGAAAUCAAUAUUCAUCUUUACUGUAUGUAAGAAUGGUCUCUCUAAGAUAAUUGAGGUAUCAUUAACUGUCCAUUAAAAUUCAUUUCUAGUACUACAAAAUCAGUUGGAAAUUUACAUCCUUUCACUAUUACUAUCACAUUUUCUAAAAUAACUUUAGGAUUUUUAAUUGAUCUAUCAGAAAAUUGUAAUGUGAUAGUAGAUGGUUUAAGAUCAGAAAUAUUAAAUUUAUCACAAAUACUUGUAGAUAAUAAAUUAAUAUUAGCACCGGUAUCAAGCAAUACAUUAUGAAAAAUAAAUCUACCAAUAUCACACGAAAUUAAAGGAGCACAAAUAUCUUUUGAUUUAUAUGAAACUUGAUUUAAUAACAAAGCACUAGCAUGCAUAGAUAAUUUUUCUACUCUAGGUGCUCUCUUUGGUGUACAAAUUUCUUUUAAAACUCUAGCAUAUUCAAGAAUAUAUUCAAUUGCAGUAAGAAAGGAAGACUAAUUUACACAUCUUGUAAAAUUUUCUUUAUUUUUUUAUUAUGUUCCUUUUUCUUUCUUUGUCUAGGUUCUAGAACUUUAGGAAAUGGAAUUUUCAUUCUUUCUUUCAGAUUUUCAUUGGUAGAAUCUAAAAAUUCUUUAUUUUCUUCUUCUUGAUUUUGUUUUAGACUGUCCACCUUUUCCUCUUCUUCUACUAUUUGGGGAUAAAGAUUAGGUAAAAUUUUUCCACUCCUUAAUACAUUUAUUGUCCUAACAUUAUCAUUUCGUGAGUUUUUUCCUAAGUUCAUGCCACUAGACUCUCCUUGUUGAAAUCUAACAGUUGGGCAUUUUCUUGGAUUUUCUAUGGGCUGACUAAGUAGUUGUCCCUCUUUUCUCCUAUUCCCAAGAGCCUCUAUAAUUUGUUUUUGUUACAACAUCCUUUGAUUUAUAGUUUGCUGCAUCAUUUGACUCAUUUGCUCCAUCAUUUCUAUAGCAUCAGAUUGAGUAUGAGAGGGUUGAAUUUUUUGAAAUCUGUUUUCUUAUUUUGGACAAAAUUCAGAAUUUAAAUUGGGUCUAAGUGCUUUGAGAUUUUAAAUAUUAUUUGGGUCUCUCCAUGAAAAGUUAUAAUCAUGUUAUGAUUAUAAGAAUUAAGAAAAGGCUCCCAAUUUCUAUUAAAAUCGUGGGUUAUUUGUACUUGUUCUUGCAUAGGCUGAAAUGAUUGAUCUCAAUUAUAACAUUGAAAUUUGGAAUGCUCAUUUUCACCAUGUAUAGGAUAUGAAUUAUUUGAACUAAAUUGAGGAUUAGGAAGCUUCUAAAAAUUUUCAAUAAAUACAUCAAGCUUAUCUAAUUUUGUAUUAAUCUGAGUAACCUCAUUUCUUAGAUUAAAAUCAUCUUGAUAAUAGAAUUUAUACAUUCCUCUCCACUUAUCCCUAUCAUAUAACUCAAAAGAAGUUUGAUCUCUCAAAUUUUCACUUAAAUUUUCAUAAAGGCUAUAAAUCUCAUCAGAAGUCUUCUCUAUAAAUAGUCCUCCACAUAUAGAAUCAACCAUAUUUCUAUGUUAUUUUAAUAAUCCAUCAUAAAAAAUUCUAUUGAGUUGCCACUUAGGUAUAGCAUGAUGAGGACAUUUUCUAAGUAAAUCUUUGAAUUUUUCUCAUAUUUCAUGCAAAGUUUCUCUUGACCUUUGAGCAAAAUCCAUAUAUAUUUUCUCAUGUUUUGAGUUUUUCCUAAAGGGUAAAAUUUUCAAAGAAAAGCAUGUUCUAUAUCUUUCCAACUAGUUAAUUCUCUAUCUAAGGUAGAUAGCCAAUAACUAGCCUUAUCUCUAAGUGUGUGAGGAAAUAAUUUCAUCUUAAUAAUUUUCGGUGUAACUUGAGGAAGAUUAAAUAAAUCACAUAUCAUAUGAAAUUUUUCUAAAUGCUGAUGAGGCUCCUCUAAAGGUAAUCUAUGAAAAUUAGGAAGCAUUUGGAAAAUUCUUGGAUUUAUUUCAAAUUUAAUAAUGGGUGCUAAUAGAACUCUAAUAUUAUAUACUCUUUGAAAUGAAUCAGGGAUAUAAUGAUUUUUCAUGGCCAUAGGAUUGUUCUCAAUUUGACUUGUGUUACCUUCAGGAUCCAUCGAAAUUAAUUUUUCUUUAGAAUUUUUAAUUUUUGUCAAGAUAAUGAGAGGAUUCUCUAGUCUUGGAUGUAAAGAUCUUAUACCAUGCAUAAAAAUAAAUAAAUUCGAGGCAAAAAAUUUUAAUAAUUGUUACCCUCCUUCAGUUUGCUCAUAUCCUUGCUCUGUUACUCUUCGUGCUACUCUUUCUUUUUUUUUUCUAUAAGAUAAAAAAUAAAAACAAGAGUUAUAUAUAUUUUUUUAUAUUCUAAAAUAAAAAUAUAAAAUUACCAAAUAUUAUGUAAUACAUUUCUAGCAACAAUGCCAAAAUUUGACCUGAAUUAAUCGUUGUAUAAUAAAUCAUGCAAAAUUUAAAAUUUAUAAAACUAGAAAAGACCAAUUCUUGGAAUUUUAAAUGUUUAUCAGAGUGAAUAAAUUAAUUAUAAAUCUAUAAAAUAUUCCAAAAAUAGUGGGAAAUUUCUAGGUCGAUCAUAGGGAUGUAAUAUAAUAUCAGGUAAUAUUUUACAAUUUUCCUGAAGGAAUAUAAUUUUUUUAUGAUUAUUUUUUAAUUAAAUGAUAAAUAUAAUCUAUUUAAUAAAUGCGAAAAGGAAAUAAGCCAAUGACGUCAUGUGACAUUAGUGCCUGAAGAACACAAAUAUGGCGGAAAUAGAGUUCCGACCUAUGAUUCUUUCGUAAGCGAUUACUAUCAAAUUAAUAGAUCAAAUUUAGUUCUAUAAAAGCCCGAAGAAUCAUAACUCAAGUAAGAAAUAUAUUGGAUCUUGAAAUCGUGUCAAAUAUUACUAAUUUAAAUGAAAAUAAAGUUUAGAACAGGAAAAACAGAGUUCUGACUUUGUGGCGGCAAUCGCCAGAAUUCUACGUGUUUAAAAAAGAAAUCAUACAAUGUCCAUAGCCUCAAAGGCUCUCCUUGGACAAAGACGAUGUCGGUGAUCUCUAAAACUUCUUUUGAAGCCCAAAAAUCAGUGGAAUGGAUCGCCAAAUUAUUUCCGGCGGCUAUCACCUGGCGGAACAGAAAUACGGCGACUUGCAGCUGUCCGGCGACUGUCACUCGACGGAGGUGUGCUGGAUGGAGGUGGGGCGCGUCUUAGGGGCUUCGUCCUUAAGUCAGCGCAGUGAGAGGAGGCCUUUUAUCGCAUUUGGUAUGCUCUCAGGAGGAUGCGACUCGUCUCCUGGCGGAUCAUCCUCUUCCUGGCGACGGCUUGUUCAUCGAUCAAGUGUAGAUGAUUUCUUCGUUGAGUUCGCGAUGUUUUAUCCAGAAUCCUACACCAAUUUCGGCCAUGAUGUUCCGCGAAUCGUGUUGACUAAGUUUUUGCUGAAUUUUUUAUGAUUUUUGCAGCUUAAUCGCUCUCCGGAAAUCGUGAUUUUUUUGCCGGUUGUCUGCCUGCGAGAGAGAGAAAGAGGGAGAGAUGAGAUAAGUACUAAAAUGUCCUCAAUGUAUGACGUCAUAAGGAUAAUUUUAUAAUGGUCAGUGAGGGGCAUUUUUGGCAUUUAAAAAAUAUGCGAGAAAAAGUAAGGUGCCGGGUUUAGUCCCACAUUGGUUUUCUGGGCAAUUUUCACGCGCAUAUAUUAUGGGCGCUUCUUUAGCUAUCAAUAGGUACAAAUCACCUGCGUGUGUACGAACACUCCUUGCCUCACGCCUGGCUGGCCACCGGUGACGUGGAAAGGGAGUGACGCACAUGUCAGCCGCUUGAGCACCUAGCUCGUGGUCCGCUCCGGCAGCCGCUUGAGCCUCAAGCUCACGGUCUGGUCCUUAGCCACUCGAGCCUUGAACUCGCAAUCCUUAGCCGCUCAGCGGCUCCACCCGACUAGGCCUCCCACCCACUUGCAGGCCCAGGUGGCCGGCAGAUUUUUUGCUUUUUCCUUAAAUAUUUUUUUCAUUUCUCUCAACAAAAUAAAAUUAUAAAAUCAUGUAAUUAAGCAAAUUUUCAUAUUAAUCAAUUAGAAACUACUUUUCAUGACUUAACACAAAAAUAAAUCUAUUUACAAUGAGUUAAGACUAAAAAUAUUAUCUUACUAAAUUAUUAACUCAUGAUAAUGAAGACUUAUCAUUAUGUAUGAAAGAAUUCUCAUGAAAAUUAGGACUAAUGCAAGAAGAAUAUGUGGUCUUUUGCAAUAGUUAAAGUGCUAUUCAUUUGAGCAAGAACCCCACAUUUCAUUCAAAGUUUAAGUAUAUCAAUGUGUUACCACUAGAUCAAGAAUGUAAUUGAAGAGAAAUAAUUACAGAUCAAGAAGAUUCACACAGAUAAUAAUGGAGUAGAUAUGUUGACGAAUACUUUGCCUAAAGAGAGGCAAGAGAUUUGCCGGCAAUUGAUCAACAUGCACGCUCCUUGAGGAUCAUGAAGACAAUCUCCCUCAUGAGCUACUAAUGGGAGAGGUUGUUGGGUGCAUGGCUCAUUAAAUGGCCACGUCUGUGUCAGCUCAUAUAGCAAUAGAGAAGGCCACAUUUAAUGCGGAGGAGAGAGAUAGGAGAAGACGAGAUGUCUAAAAUGGCCCAUGAUGUGGAUUACUUCUCACACCCCACAAUGGCCUAGUAAUGGGUAGGCAAAACCAGAAGGGAGAAAUGGUUCAGCUGCAAAGCACAUGGCAUGUAACACAACUUACACUUUACCUCACUCUCUCUCCCCCCUUCUUUAUAUAUCUAGGGUGUUAAGUCUCGUUGGGCUUCGACAUUUGUAUGCAUAUUUGAGCAAACAUAUGGAGCCUUUUAAAAAAAGAUGACAUAUGGAUAAUGUUGGCUAUUCACAAUGCACUCCAUUUGUGACCUAUGAUCUAGGGAAAAGUAACGUUAACUUCUUAUGGAUUAGGACAUAGAAGCCAAGUUUGGCUAGAAAGAUAAGUUUGUCUUGAGUUGAUAGUAAUUUGAUUUCUCGUCACAUUGCUUUGUCGACAUAGUCAUUCAAUACGAUGGCCUCAUAAUCUCCAUUCUCUCUGUCUCUCUAUCUCUCUAUCUCUCUUUGUCUCUGUCUCUGUCUCUCUCUCUCGCUCUCUCUUUCACCUCUCAGACACAUAUAAGAAUUGGGUCGGACAUCACAGGGGAAUGUUUCACGCCCACUUUCCAACCGCUUGCGGGAUAUUGGGCUCUACGUUGGUUUAGAGAGGCUAGGGAUGCUCCAUACCUAUUGAUAAUUCUAACUACUCCGGGACAGCACUAAUGAUUUUAUAUUACACAACAAAUUCUGUUUGUUAGAAACAACAGUCUAACCACCAAUUCCAUCGCAAUGUUUCAACUGGACUUUGUGACUAUUAUUCAAUCCUACUAAAAAGCCUACAUAUACAUCAGCAUAUUAAAACAUGACAUAUAAGGGUAAUGCCUAAAAUGUGUUGGCAUAACUAAAUACUUGAAUUAUCUCAAAUGAUUAGAUGAUUACGAAGUUGAUUGAGUAAUACUUGGCUUUACUUAGUUAAGCUAUUUAAUGUCCUGUUGGUAUCUGAUUUUAUUAAUAAUUUGAAGUAUAUACAUUGUUGGAUGACAAGGCAUCUAAACAGGACUCCCUUUUCAUUGAAGGGUAAUACAUCAAAGGGAAAAAUAUAUUUAUCAGAAAAGUUUUGUUUUGUCACUAGUAAUAUGCAUUCCUUCUAUGAGAUUACUACUCCCUGUUCCAUGAGGUCAUUGUAAGUAUUUUAGCUUUUGAGUUCAAAAAUGAACAAAUUCAUUGAGUUAUAGAAACCAUAGCAUUAACCUUUUUUUCAUGUAACUAAAUGUCGAAGUGAAGAACAAUAAAAUAUGUUAAAGAGUUAAUGUAAGGUGGUUUCCAAUAGUGUUGUUUCCAUAAAAAAGUUACAAGGAAGCAUGAACAGAAAAGUAUUUGUUUUAUAAUCUAACUUUAGACAAGAAAGCAUCUCCUAGCUUCAUAAAUGGGCAUGUUUCGAUUAUUCUCCCUUUUCAUCUUAUUGAUGCAGUAUUGACAUGGACAUUAAGUGGCAUUCCUCAUAUGAUAAAAGUCUUCAUGCAAGUUCAGUUGAUUGAACUCAACUAUUCUCUCUUUCAUUCUUUGUAGAACCACUUAGAUAAUUGAAAACUCUUAACUAUAUUAUAUAACUUAUGUGAGUGUCACUGGGAAGAAUGUAUGCUCAUAUGAUAUGAUUAUAUUGCUUGAAAUGUAUCAAUGAAUGACAAUCAGCACAAGACAAGGUUUCCCUAAAAUCAAAGUUUAUACCCAGAUGACGUUAAGUUUACAAGGCAAAAUAGAUGAGUAACCAUAGUUCAAUGGUAGGAAUGUAAAGAAAGAUGUUUAAAGUAACCCGUUGCUCCAUCAAUUAGAAUGGGGAUGCAAAAAUGUGGCGGUGAUGCCAAAAGUCUCUUAUUGGUGGUGAAAAACAUGUUAAACUGUGAGGAAGGAAAGGCUAUGGGUAACACAUUGUUCCCUCUUGUGUUGGGAAUGGGCUUGCAUCUAUAAAUUAUCUACUUUGUUUCUAAUGAUCACCUCUUGUCUUCUGGCUGCCCUUUUUAUGUAAUGAAGUUGCCACAAGAGUAUCAAACUUAGCUAACCAAACUUUGAUAUGUUCAAAAAUUUUUCUCACAAAUCGAGAAGAAAGGGGUUAAACGAAAUGAUUUAUGAUAAGUCUUCAAUAUUAUGAGUUAAUAAUAUAGUGUUAUCAUAGUUUUAGCUAUAACUCAUGAUAAAUAGACUUAUAUUUGUGAUAAAUUAUGAAAAGUGGUUUCUAGUUAGUUAAUAUGAAUUUUUGAUUAAUUACAUGAAAUUAUAUGAAUUUAUACAAUUUUAUAAUUCUAUUUUUUGAGAUAAUUGUAAAAAGAGUAAAAUAAAAAUUAAAAAGUUGAUCUCACAAGUAGGUUGAAGGCUCAAUUGGGUGGCUAAGGAUUGCGAGCUUGAGGCUCAAGUAGCUUAGUGCGAACUGCGAGCAUGAGGCUCAAGUGGCUGACGUGUGCGACACUCCCCUUCCACGUCAUUGGUGGCCAGCUGGGCAUGGGGCGUCCUCUUGCUGUGUUGACUAGAAGACGAAGCCCCUAAGAUGUGCCCCACCUCUAUCUAACUUAUCUUCAUUAGGUGACAACCAUUGAAGGGUUGCAAAUCACAAUUUUUCUACUUUGCAAGGUGAUAGUUGUCAGAGACAAUUUAGCAACACAUUAUAUUGAUUUCUAGACUUCACAAAAAAAUUUAAAGAUUACCCACAUCGUCUUUGUCCAAGGAGAGCCUUCGAGUCAUAGACAUUACACAAAUUUCCUUCUAAACACGUAGAAUUCUGGCGAUUAUUAUUGCAAAACCAAAACUCUAUUGUUUCUUACUUUAAACUUUAUUUUCAUUUAAAUUAGUAACAUUUGACACGAUUUCAAAUUUUAAUAUCCUUCAUAAUUGAGUUAUAAUUCUUCAGGCUUUUACAUAACUUAAUUUGAUCUAUUAAUUUGACGAUAACCAUUUAUGUAAGAAUCAUAGGUCGAAACUCUAUUUCCACUUGAUUCAUGUUUGUCGGGGCACUAAUGUCACUUUGAUGUCAUAGCCUUUCCUUUUGUGCAAAUUCUUAAAUGUAUUAUAUUUAUUUUUCAGUUUAAAAAAUCAUAUAAAAUCAUAUUCCUUUAAAAAAAUUUUGAAAUAUUACCUAAUAUUAUAUUACAUCCCUAUGAUCAACUUAAAAAUUUUCAACUAUUUUUAGAAUAUUUUAUUUAUUUAUAAUUAAUUAAUUAAUAUAUAUUUAAAAUUUUAAAAAUUAGUAUUUUCUAGUUUUAUAAAUUUUAAAUUUGCACGAUUUAUUAUAUAAUGAUUAAGUCACGUCAGCUUCCUUUACUAUAAAGUCAUGGCCAAGGAGACAACUAUGAAUAAUAUUUCUGGACGAUACAUUGAGUGGAAUGCAAAUCCAUGGGAAAUCAGAUAACUAUGCAAAAAAAGAAAAUAUGUGGAAGUCAUGUAGAUAGAGGACAAAAGGAAACAGCUGGCAAUGUCUCGACAAGCGGCUCAUUCCCAACAAGGAAAUAAUAAUGCUUUUAAAUCAGGCGACAGUGAGCUCUAGAGAAAAUCUUCAAAGGCAUAAGUUAAAUGUUCAAUGGCUGAGAAAGAUAAACGACCCAUAUAGUUCACUGAACUAGGAUUUUACUUAUUCCAGGACAGGAAUUCAGAAUGUAAAGUUAAAAACCAAAGUCUGAUGUGACUGAGGCAGAAUGAAGCCGUAAUUCAAUUGAUAAGAGAUCGAUGUAAAUAAGCAUCCUCUCAUUGAUUUAUUGAAGAAACGGCGCAACAUGGCAGGUCUUGGAGGUGCCCGUUAUUCUCCUGCAAGCAAGACGUGAUCCCCUCCUCUACGCCUUAGAACGGAUAACAGCUUCCUCCACGUCAGCAUUCACAAAGACGACUGAGCAUCCCAGGCGGCAGGAUGGGCGCUCCACAUCCAGGCUGCACGGGCAAGACAUGAUCUUGUAGGCCGAUCUUGGGAAUUCAUCAGAUUUGUAUAUGGCGAACCUACUAUUGUGAGGACCAAUGCUGUCGGAUACUGAUCCGCCCGUCGUCAGGCUCUCCUUCUCGACUCUCCACACUGUGGACUCAGUGCACUGAGUAGGCGCCGCAAACAUGGCAUAGAACGUCCCCCCAACUCUCAUGGUUGAUCUGUCCGGGUCCUCUGGGAAGAACAUGACGGGCAGCCCCCUGGCCACCUCCGAUUCCUCCCGGGCCACGUACAGUGGGCACGUCUCGUUGAGGGACACCAGAUUCAGCCCGCCGCCAGUAGGACCGAAGAUCGCCGGGAGCACGUAGUACUGGUGGCCCCGUUUGAGUACAUUUCCUCCAUUGUCGAGGACAGGAUCGGAGAUGAUCGCGGCAUGGGAGGUUGCCAGGAGGAGUGACAAAAGGAGGACGAAUUCCAUGGCUUGGAAUAGAGUGAAUCUUGCUAUUAGGAAACUAGCUGCAAUACCACUUGGCUCUGGUAGGGCAAGUGGUAUUUAUACAUUGCCGAAGCAUUACAAAGAGAUAAGAACUUGAUAAACUCCUUGAUGGAAGACGCCAGGAAAUGGGGCCACGGAACCCCCCGCAGCUGCUGACAGAUCCUAUUCCCACGUGGGCCUUCCUGGAGGAUCAGGCAAACCACUUGCAGCUUAUCCUUACACGUAAGGGACAAAGGUUUGCACGUGGUCAAACUGUGCAUGCUGAACACCCGUAUAACGCACGUCAUUGCUGCGGUCAGAAAUGGAGUGCGUCGAGAACAGGCAACAUUAUGCAUGACAUCAUUUUUGGGAUAACCCAAUAAUAUACUUAGAUAUUCGCACAUGUGUAUGCACAUUGAGAUGAGAGAAAAAGCCCAACAAGACACCAACAUUCGGGAUAUAUAUAUUGUGAGACAGACAGACAGAUAGAUAGCAAACGAGAGGGCCGUAUCUGCGUAAGCUCAAGUGUUUCAGGCUGCGUGUGCAAUGCCUAAAUGAGAUUGCCAGCUCGUGAUGUCAACGGGGGCAGGUGGGUAGAAGAGUAAGCGACUGAGAACAAGAUGGAAAGCUAGCUUUCUUUACAAGACGAGACAAGGGGACCGUUAUAAAGAUUAAUGAACAGGAGGACAAAUGAAAGGCAACGUGGCUGGCUAACCCAGAACGAAACGUACAGUAGAAAGUCCUGAUAGAUUUGAGCCAUUUCAUUCGAGUUAAAAUUGCUCGAUUAGCAUUGGAUUGCAAGUGAGGGUCUGUCAUACGCAUAAUUAAAGUUAAUGUUGAAUUCAAUGCCCCGAAAAUGAUCAGAGGAGUCAUAUUAUAAUAGUCCCAGAUUGAACGAAACCAAGAGUAACUUCUAGCUCGAACAAUAAGUCUGCUACAGCUACUGCCAGGUCGCAUAACAGGCUAUGUGAAAUCAACAAUCUCAUAAACGAUUCAUUUCAUGCUUGGAAGGGAUAUUGUUUACAGCAUAGUCUGAACGACAGAUUGUGCAAAACGUUGUGAAGUAAUAUGAAGUAACUCAGGCACGACAUUGGAGGUGGCCGCUCGCAGGUGGUGAAAAGGAGAACCAAUAGAAGAAGACGAACAAGAGAGGACUCCAUCGUGGCGGGCAGCACGUAGCUAGGUUUUUAUGGAACUGCUGGGUAUUGAGAUGGUCUCGAAACUGCGCUACAGUUCGCCUUUUCUUCAACGCUUGAGCCGUGAGGCAGUAAAACUAGUCGCGACAUUGAACUGUAUAUCUAACGAUCCUCCUCGGGACAACGUUAAAUGGCAAGUGAAAAUUAUUGUUUUCAAAGAAAAACUCUCUGUCUCUGUCUCUGUCUCUCUCUCUCUCUCUCCAUGAUCAUUCACCUUAACGAGAUGCUGUCAGGCACGUUGGACGUUUUCUUACGCACUGUUUUUCACACUUACCAUAUGAACGAGAAAAUAACGAAAAACCUGUAAACAUUUGACACCCAGGAACAUGCACCCACGAAGGGUUAACCUUUUUUUUCUACUCGGCUAACCAAAUCACUCGUUUGGUAAUCAAGUUUACUUUCUCCAAGAUGUACUAGUCCUAUAUUGAUGAAAAAGAAGGUAAACUAAAAUCAUAGAGUGACAAUGUGAUGGGAAUCAUUUGAUUUUAGUUCGGAACUGAUGGCUGAGAUUGGCAACGUAGAGGUUGCCCUCACUUUUACGAAAGAAACAAAGAUAGUAUUAGCAUGGUGGAUGCCAAGAAUGAAGGACCGUUGAUGGUAGUAACUUCGAAUAUCAACUGUUUAUGAACAUGAGACAAUAUGUCUUCCUGUAAAUUAAGAAAACCAAGUUUUCCACUGGACUAACUGAACCACGCAUAUUUCCAAAUAAUGAUUCCUUAGAAACUUGUGAAGAAUAUAUCCAUUUAGAACUGUUCAUCAUUAGUUUCUUCAUCCGUAUUUCAGUAAUAUUUAAUUGCUAAGGUGUUUCAGGUUUGAAUGUGUGUAGCCUUCAUAUACUAUUCGUUGUAUAGGUAAUUGUAGAAAAUAAUUUGACGAUCUGUAUGUUCUUCUAAAGGGGCUUAGAUUUCUUAGAAACUAAACCCUUCUAACGUUAUAUUGAGCAUAAGAGUCAAACAAAACUAACACAUUAUAUUCAUUCAAUAAAUAUUCUUUUACAUUACCAGAUAUUUUCUAAAAGUUUUUCCAGAAUCUAUAGAAACCUUGUUUCUAUCGUACGUAUAUUCAUAUUAUUUAUCACGUUAUUAAAAGGAACGAAUAGUUUUAUUCUCCAUGAAUCAUCAUAAAUUUGAACUAGCACUAAAAGUCAUGCCAACUUGGAGUCUUCAUGUUGCACUCAAUGUCACUACUAUGGGUAAAUCUAGAGUAGGACGAUAUAACCCAGUAUUCCUCGUCGUCAUACAAGAUCUAAUAAUGUAGACGUGGACUAUUUGUUAUCCGUUAGGAAUCUUAAAAGUGAUUGAGACAGUCAUAAAAUCUCUUUCUGCAAUCUGGAUGAAUUACAUUUUCUGGUAUUCUCUAUCAUGAUUCCAUGGUAUUUCAUUGUGUCUGCAUUCACCAUACAAAGUGUGUUUACUAUCUUGAAUCACCAUGGAUUUAGUAAUAUUUAUAAAUUGUAGUGAUGACCGGCAGAAAAAUUCCAUUAAAAUUGGGAGCAAGAACUUCCUGUUUUAGCUCAUUUCUUUUUUCUGAAAAUGGCUCACGAUAUAGCAGAAAUAGAUAAAGCAUUAUCAAUAGAGUAAAAUAUGGAAGAAUCAUAAUAGGUUAUACUGUUUGCGAACAAGAUGUAUGAAUGGAUAUGGACCAUUUGAAAAUAUUAUAUGAGUUGAAAGCUAGAACUGAGUUACGCCUAUAAAUAAUAAUGUAGGGAUCCACUUCCAUGCACAAAGAGACAACUUUGAUAGCUUAAUGAAUUCCAAAAAACCCCAAACAUAAAAUCAAAUUUAGGAUAGAAUAUUUUUACAUUUUUAUCUAUAUUUAUAAACAAACUAUAAUGAUAUAACCAUAACACACAGUAACUUAUAAUUAUGGUGACUUCUAAUUUAACUUGAGUAGUUUUUGGGCUGUUUGAUCCAAAACUAGUAACUCAAUAUUGAAAGGAUAUCAUAUUGGCCUAUUCCAAGUAAACUAUUGUUGAAAUUCAAGGUAAUAUGUUGGUGCUGGAAUUUAAUUACUGAAAUUUUGAAAUAAGGCCCCUUAAAUGGUUGACUAAUCUUGCUGGCUAUAGGUGUUUCAAUAUUGACCACAACAUAUGGACGAUAGUUCAGUCAAGUGGCUAAUAAUAGAAUUGCAUAUCUUAAUAGCCUCAUAGAUGAGUUGCAUUAACAUGUUACGAUGUUCAUGGGUCUACGAAGUCCUAAGUGGGGUCAAAGGGAUUCAAAAUAGUCAUGUGCCUAGAUUGGACAAUUGAUCUGACAAAUAUCAUUGUGGAAUAUAUCUGUACUUUACUCAAGUUAUUUCGAGUAAUAGCUUAUGGGAAUAGAGGAACAUAGCUUAUCAGACAAAAGUCUAAGGUGCCACAAAUCUUUUCAUUGGGUCAGCCGUUGAGAGCAGCCUAACAGGUUAACGGAAUCACCCGUUCAGUUUCGAUUUUGUUAUUGGAGCUAUUCAAUUAAUGUAAAUAGAUGGGUUAAUGGAGAUGCCUGUCUAGUUCCUAGAUUGGACAACUGAUUUUUCAAAUAUCAUUGUAACAUGUUUCUAAAUUUUGCUGUCUUAUUUCUGGUAAUAGAUUUUGAGAAAAUAACAGAGGUUAGGAUUCAAGUAUACGACGUCCCGGAUCUUGUUGUUAGGGCGGCAGAUGGGAGUAACCGAACAGGUUAAAGGAGUAAUUCGAUUUAGAUUUAAGGUUUCGGAUCCUGAUAAUGGAGCUCUCCAUUACGUGUGAAUGGAGGAUUAGGGGAUCUACCCACUAGGCGUGUAGGAUUGGAUCGUCGAACAAUUGCCAUACUUUUCUAGAUCUCGUUAUUGGAACAAUUUGAUUAAUGUUGCUAGACUGGUUGAGGGAGUUACCUGUCAGGUGCGUUAGAUCAGAUGAUUGGCAAGCCAGCAACCUUACUUUCCACUUAGUUCGCAGACCCAGAAUCUUCAAAGUAUUAUGGAGGCGUAUGUAACUAGGUAAACGGAUCUACCCUUUAUUUAGCUGAUCUAAAUUGUUCAACCCUUGCGAUGCGGUGUGCAAUCAAGUAAAUGGAUCUAUGUAAUACUUUGCACUACCUCUGUGAUAAGAUGGGAAAUGGACCGUUGUUCUUCUACUGGAGCAGUUCGUUCAAUCCCAAUAUGCACUGUGGGUUCCUGCUUGAGCUUAAGAGUAGAGCUUAAGAGUAAUUGGAUGAAAAGUAGAGGUUGAAGAAAGACAAACAGAGAGUUGAAGAGCUAGUGUGAGAAAGCGUUCCAGCUUGAACUUACAAGGAAGACGAAAUAUACAGCUAAAGUUUACAGUAAUCUCCAUAAAAAAGCUUUGAUUUCGCCCACAUUGAAGAAGAGGCAUAAAGAGGCACACAAACACGCGAGUAAAUGAUGCAGCAGUGACGUGGAAGAUAAAUAAGAUUUGGGCUUGAAUCCACAAAACUCUAAUCUUGGAGAAGAAACCAACCUCUGAAUCCACAGAUUCGGAGUCUCCAACCCUUGAGUCCACAAGGGGGUGCCUGAAUCCACAAGCAAAGGAAAGGUUUUCACAGGAGAGAAAACUGAUUCAACUCAAAAAGGUAAGUCCCUCAGGUUACAAUGGGGGCCUUUAUAUAGGCCUAGAAAGGGGGUGGGGGCGCUCAUAAAAGGAGGAUUCUGACAGAUCCUGAGGACAGACUCUGACUAACACUGAAAUGACUUAAAGCAGACUAUGAUAGAUUGAGAUCUUGAACAAAUCCUUUGAAAAUACUCUGAAGUGACAUAAAGCAAGCUCUGACAAGUAUAUAUACUAAGCAGAUCUUAAGUACAGACUUUGACAGUCUGAUAUCCUGAGCAUAUCUUGGGUACAGACUGAACCCCAUUAAAGUCCCUUCUAGAAGGAAGGAGACAUAAAGUGCCUUAUAGAAGUGAAAGGACAUAAAGUAGAAAGUAAGUAUUACUUUUCGGACCGCCAGCUCACUAGUGACAUAUGUGGGCUCCCUCUUUACUACUUUUCACUUUAUGGCCCAAAUUUAGGGUAAUUGGGCCCAACUUCGAAGUUAGGACUUCAACUUGUGUCUUGGGCUACAUCAGUAAAUCAUUUUACUUUUUGUAUUUAUACUUUUGUGAAACUAGGCCAAUCUAGAGCUUUGUAUCAAAAAGAGAGUGUUUGAUUCUCCUCUAGCUGGAAAUCUAAUGAUGCAAGUAUAGAAGAUGAUUUAUAGCUGAAAUCCUGAGUUGGCUGGAGCUGUGAAUUCUAGAAGGGUGCUAUACCUCUGAAUGUAUUGUGUAAAUCAGCAAGGACUUGGCAGAGUCCAGGGAUGUUGCCCUUGGAAAAUUGAGUAUAUCAUUAAGAUGGAAAAAUUACGAAUCAUGGUGUUUGACUAUUUACUGUCUGUCAAGCAAAGAAUGAGUGAGAUUUCUGAGGAAAAAGGAUGAACAAACAUAAAUCCACCCAUCCCCUGAAUACAGUGCUGCCAUAUAGAAACUGUCCUAGCUAAAACACUUUAAAAAUAUAAUAAUUUUGUGAUGUUGAAAAAGGGUUAUGCUAAUCAAAACCUCACUAAUCAAUGCCGCCCUUGAUUUCUAUCACAAACUUAUGUAGACUAAGAAAUUUAUACAAUGUGGGUAAGUUUCAUUAAUCAUGAUUAAUUUCAAAUUAAUGCAUGAGAGUUUAUAAUUUAAUUAAAUAGCACAAUCACUGGAUAAAUCUAAUUAAUAUAAAAAUACUAUUUCAUAUUAUUCUAAUGUUAUAACACCAUUCUUUCGAAUGAGAUAUAAUCUGAUUAAUAAGCAAAGUUACCAUAGAUCACUUGAUAAUAAAAUAUGAAUGAUGUUUAUGAUAAAUAACCAAAAUUUUCUGUUCAUUACAUUGAUUGAAGUGCUUUCCUUCGUAAUAAUUUAUUUAAAAAAGGACCUUUGACGUAUUUUACCAUAUUCUCAAAAGUAUAUUGAAAAUUAUGACUUAAUGAAUUUACUUUGGUAUCUAGGGAAGGGAAGCCUCGCAAAGGCUGAAUAUAAAUGUACCAGAAGUGGCUUCAAGAAUCAAAUAUAAUAAAUAUUUCGGCGAAAAGGACUUAAAAAAAAUGAAAUUUGCAAGAAUACUUAGGUGGAGGUAUUUCUUUUGAGAGAUUCUCUAGAUACCCUUUUCUAUUUUGAGAACUUUGCAAACCAUUAUGACAAUUCCAGUAGACAUCACUAGGACUUCAAGUUAAGUCGCAUGAUACUGCCUGUCCGUUUAUUAGGGAUUUCUGUUUCUUGUAAACAUUGAAAACCAUUUUAAAUAUUUCGUCAUUAUAGCCAUUAAUCAUUGCACCAGAAUGUAUUGCAAGAAGAUGGAGACAACAUACCUUCACAUAAUCUUCUGGGAAAGUAGAAACUCGAUAAGUCCCUUCCUUUUGCAGAUUCGACAGAGCAGAGCUCGGUUGACUAGGAGGAAAUUGGUCCAAUACACCCACCAUCACGAUUCCUUUGAAUCGCCUUAGAGCGAUAUCGCACUAGAGGCUCAAGGAUGUCAAAUCAUGAAUUGACACUAGGAUAUGAAAAGGGCUACGCCACCUGUGCCCGUAACUAUAGAUGAAAAUUCUGCGGGAUAAGUUGAGGGCGAUCAUCUCAUCUGCUGCAUUGAUAAACAACGUGAUCUGGGUAAUGAUUUUGCUUUCUUUGUAGCGCCCGUUGUAACGACAGGAGUUAGCUGGAGCUGGCGACCUGAGGCCCCAUCGAACUCCCGGUCGGAGAAAGAGGAAGACACCUCAAGGAGGGCUUGGCACCGACGGGGUGACCAGCACCAGGCGUCCUCACGGGAGCAGGAGGCAGCGGCAAUGGAGUCCACCACCCGCGGGGUAGCACGCCAGACGAUCUGGCACGGAAGUUUGACGAAGCACCAAAGGAGGGCAAGUGGGCAACACACGCAGGCUCCGGGCCACUGCGUUGCACCACCUAGGAGCUAGAAGUUAAGUAGGGAGGGGAAGGACGGCGGAAUGCCGAUGACCCAAAGGGCGCAGCUUUCCUUCCAACGCCUGCUCUUCCCAUCGAUCUAUGAACAAGCCUCUGGACUAGGAAUGCGUUGCCUGCCUCGUGGUUAAGGUUUCUUCAGUUAGAAUCCCGUUGCCUUUGUCUUUGCCUUUUUCGGUUGCCUGCUGUGUGGUUUAGGUCUCUUCGGCUGCCGUCAUCUACAGCUGUGGUAUGCCAUCGUAGGUUGACGGCCUGGUGCAAUUGAUCGGAUGCUUUCCGCUGCCUCCUCAACUCGCACCUUUUUCCCCACAGAUGGAGAGAAUGUCAGCGGCGAAGGUAUCUGAUGUGUUUUAACUUCGUCGAAUAUCUUUUGGAAUCGGUCCAACAUGUUGACCAAAUUCUUCCCGCAUUUCUAUAAUCUGGGGAAAACGUACCAUUGGCAUCUUCUGCGUUAGGACACAAAAGCCAAGUUUGACAGGAAAAUUAAGUUCGUACUGUGUUACCUGAUUUCUCACCAGGCGGCACCGUCCACAUAAUCUUUCAAUCGGAUGGUCCACAUAUUAUUCUGGGUACUGUCCAAGCCAUACCGGCCAUAAUUGUAUACUUAAUUUAUGUCAAAUGCUGGAGACACUUGGGACGUUGGUCGUAUUGAAUUAUUUGUGGUUUUGCCUAUUACAACUUAGUUUAAAGCUAUUUAAUGGGUCUGUAGUAUCUGGUUUCAGUCAUAAUUUAGAAUAGGUACAUUGUUGGACGGCCAGGCAGGUAUCUAACAUAAGGCUCCUGUUUUAAUGAGACUGUAUAAAAGUGAGGGGAAAAUAUAGUAAUUAGACAGGUAAUGUGUUGUGUUACUACUGAAUACACAUUCCUUAUACAAAAUAUGAAGUACUGCAUGAUGCAUGUGGUCAUUGCUAAAAAUGAGUUAAAAUUUGGAAAAAAACAAGUUCAUUGACUUCGUACGCAUCUAAGCACUGAACUGUUUAUUCAUGUGACUAAAGGCAUAAGAGAUGGAUAAUAUAGUAUUCUAUUGGGUUACUGUAGACAAAAUGAAUAACCAUGGAAUCAUGACAGAGGAUACCUAAUAAAGUAUUUUUCCAGAUAUUAGAAAGAGAUUCACUGACUUUAUUGAUCAUUUUGAAGGUUCUCAUGCUGAUGGAUUAUUUGAUUCAUGAUGGAUUUCCUACAUUGUAAGUCUGAAAUUCAAAAUCUUGCAUUAGCAUGAUUAUGACUAGGUUAUAUUUUUUACUCUAGAUUAACAUUUAAUAAGUAGAUUCAAGUCAAGAUGAAAACUAUAGGUUCACAAUGACUUUUAACGCUAAUUUAGAUUUAUGAUGAUCCAUGGAGAAUAAACAUAUUUACUUCUUUUAAUAACAUAAUAUAUCCUAUUCCUAAAUAUAGGAUGUAAACAUGCUUUCUACAGAUUCUCGCAAAUAUUUUUAUAAAAUAUGUGAUAAUGAAAAUGUAUCUACUGAAAUAGGGUGUUAUUUGUGGUGGACAAUCAUAACAGUUCCAGCUGAAUAUGAAAGUCAUAACGAAUUAUAGUGGGCGCUAAUGAAGGAUUUAGUUUUCAGGAAGAUGAUAUCUCAUCAGAACAUCAUACAGAUCAUGAAAUUAUCAUUCUGAAAUAAAUGAUACCAUGAAUAGAGUAUGAAACCUAUGCACAUUAAAACCGGAUAAUGCCUUAGAAAUGAAAUACACGUGAGGAAAAUAGUGCUUCUUAGUCUUAAAUGAAUAGAUUAUUUAUUAUUUCUAACGAACCAGAAAAUUGGAAACAUGAGUAGCUCAAUCUGUCAGUUCUUUUCUUCAGCUUUUAUUCAUAACGUUUUUGCACAAUCUGUUGUUCAGACAACGGUGUAAAUAAUCUCUUCCAACCAUGAAAUGGUUAUUCCAUAAAUCAACUAUGACGGUAUUGAUUUUACAUACUGUUUAAGCUACUUGGCAGCAACUACAGGAGACCUUUUAUAACACGACUCUUCAUUUGAUCAUUUCCCGGUCGUUUAAUUAAUGAUUAAUUUUAAUUAUGGGUAUCAAAUAUCUCAAAUCUGUCAGCAGCUCCUAUCGUAGAUUUCGCUCUGACACAUCCUACGACGUUGCCCCUCAUUUGCUCUCCUGAUUUUCAAUCAGCCCCCUCAUAACGUCAUCUAAGGACAACGAGGCUCCAGCCUUAUGCUCCGUCGCUUACUCUUCCGCCCAUCUGGCCCCGUGGAGAGCAGGAAGAAAAUCUCACGNNNNNNNNNNNNNNNNNNNNNNNNNNNNNNNNNNNNNNNNNNNNNNNNNNNNNNNNNNNNNNNNNNNNNNNNNNNNNNNNNNNCCGACAUAGCACACCACAUUUAAUACUUGAAUUUCGCAGAUCCCCCUCCCCCUCUCUCUCUCUCUCUCUCUCUCUCCCUCCCCCCCUCUCACCCACUCACCCUUUCUCUCUCUCUCUCCCUCCCUCCCACCCACCCUCUGUCUGUCUGUAUCACUGAAUAGAUAUCCAGAGUAAUAAGUCGUAACGGGAUUUCUCUCAUGUCUCUAUGUGCAUUUGUACAUGUAUCUAAAUUGAUGGGAUUAUCCAAACAGUGAUUACAUAUGCAUCAUGUUGGCCGUUCUGGACGCACUCGAUUUUGAAGGCAUCAACCAACGAGCCUUAAACGGGUGUUCAGCUGACGCAGCGAAACUGUUGGUGAUCACCCUUUGAGUUGAGUGGAUGUUGAGGUUGGCGGAAGAUGGGUUGAAAUCACGACUUGAAUCCUCAAAAGUCGAGAUUUCUGGUGAAGCCUCCUUGUCUUGAAUCCACAAAACGAAGAAACUAUUCCCUUGGUGCUCAAGGGCGGAUCCUGAAUUUUCAGAAUCAACGAGCUAACUCCCUGAGUCCAUAGGGAUGCUGGAGUCCACCAGCAAAGGGGAGAAACUCUCAAGGAGAAGAAACUCACGAAAUUCUAUUCAUAAAAAAUAAGUUCAAUGCCCUUGGGCUACAUGAGGCGUCCUUAAAUAGGCUAGAGCCUGUGAAAAGGGCGCCAACCUUGAAUUUCAAACGAAAUUUGAAAAUUAGGACGGAAUUACAUUUGAGAAAGUUUCUGGAAUAGAAAUGGGCUUAAAAUAAAUCAAAAUAGGCUUUUUUAGAAGGUGGUGUAAAGGCAAGUAACAGUUAUGGAAGGAAAAUGAAUAGAGAAAAGAAGAGAAAUAGAAAGAGGUUUUCAAUAAGGUUAAAUAGAUUUUAGAAGGUGGUGUCUAAAAUAGAAGGGGAAUAAAGAAAGGAUGAGACCUAAAUAUAGAAAGUGUCAAAUAUAGAAAGUGAUCUAAAGAUGGAAGGUCUAAAAAUAGAAAGUGAACGAAAUGUCAGAAGGAUCUAAAUAUAGAAGGGUCUAAAAAUAGAAAGUUCUGAAAAUAGAAACUUCAAAAAAAUGGAAAAUUGAUCUUCAGGUCUUCGUGUGUUCUGGUCCAAUAGAUGUUAUAUUGGCUCACUACAUCAUCAGCACUCUUAGUUUGACCUCGUGCGUCCUUUUCUCACUUACCUGCAUAGGAUAAGCCAUCUGUGGUUGGCCUCAUCCCACAAGAAGGCCCACGUGGGAAAACGAUCUGUCAGCAACUGAGGUGGCUACCGUGAUGCCGUUCCUGUCAUCUUCUACAUUAGAGGUUAUCACGUUUCAUGUUUGUCUGCGAUGCCUCGACAGAAGAUCCCCCAAACAUGUAUAAAUACCCAAGUGCUGCUAUAGCUAGUUUCCUAUUAGCUUGCUUCAUCCCCUCUUACCUUCCAUGGAACUCGUCCUUCACCUUCUAUCGCUCCUCCUGGCCAUGUCCCAUGCCGCGAUCUUCUCCAAUCCUGUUCUCGACAGUACAGGAAAUGAGCUGAAACGGGGCCACCAGUACUACGUGCUCCCGGCGAUCUUCGGUCCUACUGGCGGCGGGCUGAAUCUGGUGUCCCUCAACGAGACGUGCCCACUGUAUGUGGCCCAGGAGGAAUCGUAGGUGGCCAGGGGGCUGCCCGUCAUGUUCUUCCCAGAGAACCCGGACAGGUCAACCGUGAGAGUGGGGGGGAUGUUCUACGCCAUGUUUGCGGUGCCUACUCAGUGCACUGAGUCCACAGUGUGGAGAGUCGAGAAGGAGAGCCUGACGACAGGCGGAUCAGUAUCCGACAGCAUUGGUCCUCACAAUAGUAGGUUCGCUAUACAAAAAUCUGAUGACCCCGAAUGGGCCUACAAGAUAUUGUCUUGCCCCUGCAGCGUGGAUGUGGAGAGGGGAUCCUGCCGCAUGGGAUGCUCAGACUAUGUUUCACUGCCUAAUGCCGUUGUUUUUAUGAACGCUGAGGUGACAGAGGCCGUGAUCCAUUCCAAGGCGUAGAGGAACGGAAGAUCUAUCACUUGGGGUGAAUAACGGGCACCUCCGAAACCUGCCUUGUCGUGCUGUUCCUUCAAUAAAUGAAUGAGAGGAUCCUCAUUUACAAAGAUCUCUGAUUAAUCCAAUUGCGGCUCUUCAGACUUUCAUUUAUAAAUUUAUAAUUUGAUUAGAGGGUUCCUUCUCUCAUCCUGUUUAUCCUAUUAUAGAGAGCUUGAAAGGGGUUUGAGUGACUUGAAAAAGGUUCCAAUGAAAGAUCUCUUAUUAGAUUAUGCGAGUGAUUUAUUUUUUGAUUUUUCAGUGAGAGUUGUUCUAUUCUUGUCUCAUCUAAUAGAUAUUUCGAUGUUACUUGUGGACGUUGGAGGCUGACUUCCAAUCCACGUAAACUCGUUGUAUUAGUGAUCUUGAUCUGAAUUCAUCUCUUUCUUUCAUUGAGAUCCGCCACUAGUAAAUACCUUGCUAGUUGCUCCUUCGGCCUUCUAUCAACAUCGAACCCCCCCCCCCCCCCACCCACACGUGUCCUCUCCCGUAGUUCUCUCAUUCUUCACGGAUUCGCAUUCCAGUCAGACGUCCUGUCCACAAACACCGUUGACAGUGUUGUCCCUACUGAUGAUGUGACGAUAAAGCCCUACCGUUCAACCCCUUUGUCAACUUGCGGAUGGAAUGAGUAAACCCAUCAUUGUUUGGUCAACUUACGGCAGCUUCACUGCUUAGAAACGCCAGCCGCCAGAAGGGGCGGUGGCAGAGGAGAGCGAGGCCGUUUUCUGAAAAAUUGAUGAGCGUCGCUGUCUCGUGGGAACCUGAGGAAUCAUCUGCCGAAAAGUCAGACUGGAAACGACUCCAGGCCAUGUUCGUUUUGGGCACUGAGAAAAGGGGCGAGAGUCUGAAGUCAACUAGGAGGAGAGGAACUCGGUGUCUCCUCUGGGGAGCUCUCAUACGGCCGCCACCAACAGCAUGGAGAUUAUUCACCUCCACCCUGGCAGAGAAGGCAGUAGCCAAAUGGGACGGGUGCAAAGAGAGUGCAAUAGAACACCUGGGAUGAAGGCCUCCGCAGCAACGCGUGGAGUCAAAUUUCCCAUUCUCUAACUUCUCUGGCAGAUGAUUCCUCUGGUUCGCAUGAGCUGGUGAUGUUCCUUCAUCUUUCAGAAAACGGCCUCGCAUCGACCUCUCUGGGGCCCAACCUUUAGCAAUUCCUACCUUCCUAUUUCUUCUCUGCUGCAAUCAUUCGGCCGUUGAACCAGGCAAGCAACUUCACGCUCAUCUCAUCGUCUCGGUGACCAGACUUGUGAAUCUCGCCGUCUCCUAGUGCCUGGCUUACGUUCCCGCCCUGUUGGACAGAAUCCCCAAGGGAAGAUCUUCCUCUCGACGGUCCCAUGAGGGGGCUGUCGAGCUCUUCCGGCACAUGCUCGACGGAGGGGUCGAGCCGGACAACUUCACCCUCCCUUUCGUCCUCAAGGCCUGCUCCGCCCUCUCCAAUGAGAGUCGGGGUGGUGCCUCCACGACCAGGUGAUGUGUUCCCGGUCGUGCACCGAAGUUAUUCGUCGGCGCACGGCUCAUCAGCAUGUUCGUAAAAUGCGGCUACGUGGGAGAAGCCCAGUAGAUGUUCGACAGAAUGCCAGCAAGAGGUGUAGUGCUGUAGAACUACAUGAUCACUGCCUACGCUUUCAGUGCCUACCCUCUGAAGGCACUGGCGCAUACCGCGGCAUGGUCUUCAAUGGCUUUACGCUGAUCGAGGGGACACUGGUGACGGCCAUCUCAGCCUCCACCAAUGCCUUGGCUCUGCCAAAGAUGUCAGAGAUCGCCUUCUGCUGGAGGGUUGGUUUUCACCUCCAUGACGUGGUGAAGCCCUUGUCAACAUGUACGCCAAGAGUGGAGAUCUAAGCGGCGAGGACUUUCUUUAACCUGCUAACAGAGAAGAGGGUCGUCUCCUGCAAUGAGUGCUCAAACUGUUCGAGCAGACGAAGGAAGAAGGCCGGUCAAAAUAGUUGGUUGACGACCACUUUAAAAAUUUUUUUAACUAUCUUGUCCCGAAAUUUAUAUUUUAUAUAUUGUGAUCACGAUUUAAUUCGUCGAAUUUGAUUCUCAUAUUUCUUUUAGGUAAUAUUAUAAGUUUUGAUUAAAAAUAUUAUAUUAUUUUCAGAUGUAUUAUUUAUUUAUGUUUCGAAGAUAAUAGAUCAUUAAUGAACUAUGUUAUACUUAAAAAUUUUGUAGAUAUAUUUUGUUAGUUAACGAUCACAUGCAUUACUUUCUUCUAGGAUGUCCCAACAUUUACACACCAUAUUGAAUUGGUUUCUAGCUGUUUAAAUUUCUAUCCAAUUUUAGAAUCUAAAUAUUAAGGUAUCAUACAAGAUACAAAUAUUUUAGAAUCUUCCUCUAUGACUUCAACAUCUCCAAUAGCUAACUAGUUUUGAACAUUCAUCUCUUACCUCCCUACCAUCAGGUAACUUUUCCAUCACUUUUUAAGAGAAUUUUGUGAAAACUUAAGCGAUGCCUUUUUGUGGUCAAACUUUAAUAAAACAACUUGUUGAUAUGCCAAAUUUAUGUCUUACAUGACAAUCCUUGUACAUAUCGAUUAUCCAAUACCUUCAGCAAUCAUCUAAGUUACUAAUAUAAUGAGGGUAAUAAAAAUGAAGAUCUAAUAAUCACUUUCUUCACUCAAUUUCUACAAAGACAUCAAGUGAGUGCCAGCAUCCAAGAAUAGCUCAUGGUGAAUAACUUUCGUAUCUUAGGGAAAGCCCUAUGAUUAAAUUUUCAUUUAAUCAGUUAAAGAAGCUGAAUCUUUUAAUUAGCUCUGGUCCCCUAAAAUAAUGAAACUAGAAGAAAAAUUUGAUGUAAAUUUUAUGAUAGAUGAGCUAAGUAAUCAAUAUUUGUGUGUGGUAAACAUUUAGCUUAAUGAAACCAAUGAGCAUUCGCUGUUUAAAUCACUAUAAAAAGACCUGAAUUUAUUGGAUUUAGAUGUAGGAAAGUAAUAGGAUUCAAGAUCACAAAAAGGAGAACAUAAAUUUUCCAACAGUUGGCCAAAAGUCAAAAUUAGAAUCUACUGAAUUCAAGACUUAGCAUUGAUUCAAGUGCAGCUUAAAAAUCAAUAGAAUUUAGAGACAUUGCCACUAAAAAGUAGAGUAUCUCUCAGGCACAUAGUAAGAGUGUUUGAAUGACAAAACAAAGAUGAACUAACCCCCCUUUCAAUAUAGUAAUGUCAUAAAAACUUAUCUUUAAUGAAAAACUUUAAAAAUCUAAUAGUUUUUGACAUUGCAAAAUAGUUACACAUUUGAUCUGUAAAGAUCAUAAGAAAAUAAAAAAUAUUAAUCCCCCACUCGGUUCCUAAAAAAAAAUUUAGAUAAACACAUGUAUAUAAUGAGGGUAAGUUUUAGUAAUAAUAUAUGUACUAACGCAACUAAUAUAUAUUUCAAAUAUUAAUGUCAUUAUAAUUCAUGUCUCUUAAUGGGGAUAUAGAUUAACCAAUGAAUUGUAGGUUCUAAAAGGCCAGAUAAAUUUCAGGAAGGGGGAGUGAAUUUGGUAUCUAUGGGUUUUUUCAUAACUCUCAUUCCAGACUAUUACUUGGCUUAAAGUGAGACAUGAUGAUGUAGACUUUUCACAUAGCUCUCUCUCUUUGACUAAAGAUAUAAGGACUUUUUAUACUAGUUUGACUUGAGUACUUUAGUCCUGAAAGAUCCUUCCUAAUACUGCUACUAUUCUCCUCAGAAUUACACACACACUCUCUCUUGGCCCGCCUCUAAUGGGUAAGAAAUGUGCUAGACAUCAUAGUGGUAUGUGUCAUAGGACUUUCUAUGUUCAAUGACAACUCUAAUCCUUAUAUGGUGAUAGUUAAAAAAAGAGUUCCAUUUACACAUUGUAUUUCAUAUGUAAGAUACAAUUGUUUGUCAUUCUUACUUCCAAUGAAACGUUGCUAGGAUUCAACCCUAUAAGGGUGCCUAGAUACACAUCAACAUAUUGAAAAUUUGUUGGCAAUAUCCAAAAAAAAGCACCUAUAAUGAAGUACUUUUUUAUGUGAAAUGCAAGAGACAUUUAGGACAUUCUAAUUAUUUAUGGACCUCCAGUCAUACUUAGGAAUAGGUACAAUGUUAGAUGGCCACGUAUGGACCUCUUCUAAUGCCAUUUUUUAUAUGAGACAGGUAAUGUGUUGUGUUAAUACAAUACACAUUUCUUGUAUAAGGUAUAAAGUAGUAUCGAAUGAUAUAUUAGGUCAUUGUAAAAAUAAAUUGAGUUCAAAUUUAAAAAAGAAACAUGUUCAUUGACAUUGUUGGCAUGUAAGAGCUAAAUACUUUUUUAUGUGACUAAAGAUAUAAGUGAAGUAUAAUAUAAUAGAAUAAAGGGUCAAUAUAAUACUAGAAAAUAUAUUUUCCCAGAUAUUAGAGGGAUAUUGAAUGACUUUGUCAAACAUUUCUCAACUUUUCAUGUUGAUGGAGUAUUUCAUUAAUCUUGGAUAUCCUACAUUCUAAGCCUAUAAUUGAAGAUUUUGCCAAAGAAUGAUGAUAACUGGGUUAUAUUUUCCUACAACUAAGGAAAGGGGGCAGCCAAGGAUAGCACCCACAUCAAGUUGACUUGGUGACUAGCACUAGCUGAUGCUAGAGAGGUAGACAGAGCUGUGCCUAUAUAUUGAAACUAACUCAAAACCAAAUGUUGAAACAAAAUGUGAGAGACUAGAAGUUGGAUCUUAAGUUCCAAAUAUAAUUGUGUGAAUUAAAUAUAUGAUAACGGAAAAAAUAUAUUGGAGUAGUAUAAAGUGUUAUUUGAGGUUGAAUGUCAUGAUCAUUAAAAUUGAGCAUGAAAAUCAUAAAAAACUAUAGAGGGCAUAAUGAAGGAUUUAGUUUUUAAGAAAGCAAAAAGCUCUUUACAAGAUCAUAUAGAGCAUGACACUAUCUUUCUGCUAUUAUUGAUACGAUAAAUAGAAUAUCAAAGAUAUACACAUCAAAACUUGAUAAUUCCUUAGAAAUGAAAUAUUGAAGGAAUACAACUUAGGAAAAUAAGGUUUACAUGAUUUAAAAGGAUAUGUUAUUAACUAAUUUAUAAUGAAUUACUAAUUAGAAACAUGUGUAGUUCAAUUCAUCAAGGGGAAAACUCAAUUUUUUAAUUUUAAGAAAGACAAUGAUCUGAAUUUCAAAAAUAAUUGAGCUUGAAAAUCAAAACCAUCCAUUCAUUUCCCACACUUACUUCUGUGACACUCCAAUAUUGUUGGCAUCUACCAAGAUAUGACUUUGGGCAACCUCUAUGAUGACAAUCUCAGCCAUUGGUUCCCAACUCAAAUCAAACCAUUCUCAUCACAUGGUCACUCUCUAGUUAUAGUCUACCUUUUUUUUUAUCAACAUAGAACUACUAAAGCUUGGAGUAACAAUAAUUGAUUAAUUAAUUAAUGAUUGGGUCAUUUGAGCAGGAAAAAUGUAGAACAAUCCUCUAUGGAUGCAAGUUAAUGUAGAACAAUCCUCUAUGAGUUUUGAUUAGUGUUUCAGCUCCAUUUAUUUCAACAAAAACAAAUCAUAUUAGUAUUUUCAUUGUCUAGUUAUAUGCCCCAUUAGGUCUAAUUAUGAGUACUUAGUAGUAAUAAAUUAUUUGAUUCAACUCAUGGAUGAAAAUGAAAAUAUGCUGGAUUGGACAAAACAACUUUUGGAGAGAAUGGAGAUGAGAGUUGACUGACUUGAGGACUCCAU
RNAcentral lists this long non-coding RNA (44348 nucleotides) under Spirodela polyrhiza (greater duckweed). RNAcentral describes it as "long non-coding RNA (SPOL_LNC000505)". The stretch from base 1124 to 1301 matches the Rfam family "Antisense RNA which regulates isiA expression". The record is from RNAcentral. Lineage: Eukaryota; Viridiplantae; Streptophyta; Magnoliopsida; Alismatales; Araceae.